CUCCGGUGCUGGUGCACCAGCAGUUCGGGCUGCAUCUCCUCAAUCAUGGACGGGCGGCGUUCCAAUCCAUUCCCCAAUUGUACAACAGCCGCUGCGAGGCUGCUGCCAUCGGCCCGCAUCCUCGCUGAUGUCUAUUUUUUUUAAAAACACGGUACAAACGCAGACGCUCGUUGAGCUCCGUCCCGAGGCCAUCCUCCCCAUGGCGCUCCGCCCACCACCUCGAUCUCCGCCCGACACCGUCUCGAGUGGCAGCGGCGGCGACCACCACGGCAAAGGCGGCGCGCAGCAGGGACGUAGAAGAUUUGAAAUGGGAUAAAGCUUGAUUGGCUAGUCGGCUAAGGCUCCUGUAUCGGCUCACUCCGAUAUCAAGAAGACUUCAUAUAGAAUCAGGCUCGUGAGUGACAGGUGGGCCCUAAUCAUUAAGUUGGUGAAAUCUGAGAAUUUUUUUUUUUUUGUUAGUAAUUAGUCUUCGACUCGUGGGUAUAAGUUAAGAGCUUUUGGGUUUGUGUUUUUUGUUACGAGAUCGGCUAGAAAUGUGUCUUUGUGUAAUUUUGUGGCGACCCAGACCAUUAAGGUCCUGAAAUCACUGUGUUUAUAGUACUAGUCCCUGGAUCAAUGCUAGUACACACAGUUCACGAUGAAAUAUCAUAAUUCAUGUCUUUAUUACAACGUAUAAAAGAUAACAAUCCAGAGUAUUAUUACACAACGAAAGUCUAAAAUAUCAAAUGAAGAUAAAUGAGCUUUCAUCCACGCCACAGGCAAGUUGAAUGUAGACUCGCGACCGUGCGUACCUCCUUCCUUUAAUUAUCACUCUCUGCACAUGAUAGGUGCAGAUAAGUACAUUGAAUGUACUCGCAAGUAAAUACCUGUGAGGUUAGGAGAAAUGCAAGUACAUGCUUAUUAGAUAGUUCCUAAGUGGCUUCUAUGGUUCUUUUGCCAAAACAGCAAGUUUCAUUUUGAAAUACUCAUAAUAGCUUUUCUUUGCAAAACUCUAAAUCUAGAAUUUCAUAGAAAAUAGUUUUGAAAAGUAGAUAUGGUCUUUCUAUGGAAUCUCCACGACCUAACUAUGUAUUCUGGGUCAAACUGACACUGACAUAGCAACCCUUGAUUUCCCUGACCCAUUCUGUGGGAUCCAUCGAGUAGAUACUCAUUCUGUGGAUGCUUCCAUCGAGUCAAAACAGUGUUUGGUUUUUGAAAACAAAACUAGAAGAUCUCCUCUUAACUAGACUUAGUAGCUCAAAGGUCGCCCGUAAGCAAGGGCAUGGCUAAUCGAUUAGAUUGACACUCUCGAGAGGUUUGUACACUUUACCCACCAGACACAAUCAGUCCAAAGUGUUGCCUAACGACAAGCGUGCGCAACAGGUAAAGAUUGUGACGAAGUCUUUCACUAGAAGCCCCCUAUACUUAAUCCUGGCACCGCCCGCCCCAUAUGAGCACAUUGGCCCCUCUCCGGAUGACGAUACCCAAGUAAGGGUUUCCCAGUAGUUACUCGACUAAGCCAGAGCCAUAAUAGCAGGUGGUUGUACAGGUAAGCUUUUGGGUUCCAUUGGAAAAGAAUUGAACUUUUAGAUUCUGGACGGCGGUCCCAACGAAAAUCCUGAGCAUCUGCAGAGCCGAAUUGGAUGCUGCUCUUGUCGACAACCAAUAAUGGUCUCAAACUUACCACUCCGCCUAGUUGAAAACAUUUUGAGGAUUUUGUUUCAAAAACAUUUUUCCAAACACAUACGACUCAAUUCUGAGCACUUAAUACUUUGAAAAUAGUUGGUCCCUCCCGGUACAAUAAUAUAGCAAGCACUUUGUAAAAUCAUACAAGCAAUAACUUAGGGUAAUUGGUGGCAUGACAAUAACUUAUAGGCAUACUACUUAGGACAUAGCUAAUAAAUUGCAAACGCAUUUUAUAAAUACUUCAUAACAAUAUAAACCUACACAUGCAUGCCUACAACUUAUAAACAAAGUAGCAUAUGCAAAAAUUAUAGGAUUCUAGAUGAUCAAAGGUAUCCACUUGCCUGAGCCUGAGUUGCUGUAACGAUCAAAAUUUCCCUGGCACUCUUCACACUCACACUCGGGAUAAUCUAUCGCGAAGAACGAAAGCAACAAUGAAUAACUUGUUCAACAACUCCAAAUUAUAACUCCAAUAAGAGCCGGAUAAGAAUUACAAAAACUUAAAUUUAGAAAAGCAGCUAACAAGGCACAACUAACACUAAUCCAACCGCAAGCACAGAUCUAAGGCUAGGGACAAGAUUUGGAACCAAGUGGAGACAAAUGAUAACCUACAAGCUGAUAGCAGAUAGCGAAUCUAACGGGAAGGGGACUGUCGAAACACGUCUGAACUAACGGUACGGAAGGUACUGAAACUAAUAACGUAACUUAAGGCUUAUAACACAGAAAGUUUCAUCUAAAACGGAGCUAGGAAACAAAAGAUACAAGCCUACGAAAGUAGCUAAUCAAAAACAGCAUUCUGUGAAUACAGUUUUCAAUUAUUAAUCUAGUAGUGUAAUCUAAUUACAUGUUACGUGAAAAGUGUUCUGAGGUGCAGAUUUUUAACCAAUAUUUACAUUACAGAAAUAAUAAACCAAAAGGGGUUUAUAGGUUUUGAACAUUAAGCUCUACAAAGUGUCUAAUGAAUAACAGUGCUGGCUAGACUAAACCGGUGUCUUAAGUUCUUUUUAACAGGUAGCUAGUUUUGACAAACUUUUAGGUCAUUAUCUAAACCUAAAAAAGGUGCAAAAAAAAAAUAGGGUGUAACACAAGACCUACUCGUCAUCCUACAGAAGCUUACAACCUAAACGGGUCUACAAUCUACUCAACAAGAACGUCGAAAGGUAUCUAAUCUAAAACAGACUAACUGGGAAUACCGAUUUGGAACGAUGAUGCACUGCUGAAGAUGAUAGAGACGGGGCUUCUAAAGAGGUGUAAUUUAUAGAGCAAGAUGUAAGCUACCAGAUGCAAAAAGAAUUUCCUAAAUAGGAUCUACGGAACAAAAGAUACGGAGUAUAGAAGUAGGCUAAUCAAAACAGACUGCAGCUCGAAAACAGAGCAAGAAAGCUCACCGGAGAAGAUGGAGUUCGCCGGAGUUGAUGGGAGUCGGCGAAACAGAGGUUUCCGGAAGCAAGGCUGUGGUGUAUGGUGUUCUAGGCGUCGAAAGGGAUCUAAAGGUGGUGAUGGCUCGGGAUAAUUUGGGGCGAGGCGGUAGGAAUUGCUCGCCGGAGUUUGCGUGGAAACGGCGACGAAACUUGAAAUUGGUGGCAAGGUUGACUGCGGCUUCGAGCUAGAUUUCGAGGGAUUGGUCGGGGCUCUCGAGGGCGUCAGCUUGGGAUAUUUAUAGGGCUCGGGGCGCUCGGGAUAAGGCCGGCGGCGGGUGAGAUUUGAACGGGAUUCGGUUUCGCUUAAAAUUCGGACGAGAUAGAGUCCGGGAGGGUUUCAAUCUUGUUGGGAUAGAUUCCUUGCUGUGUGGGUCACGAAUUAGCGAAGAAAUCACGGAGAAAAACGGUUUGGAGGAUGUGUUCAAGAUGGACGGCCAUGGACGCCGGCGACUCGAGCUCGAGCUCAGGCUCGGCCAUGGCAGGGGCAGCGCGGGCGGGCGGCGGGGCUGCGGCGGCGAGCGGCGGAGCCAGGGCGGCGGGGCAGGGCCGGCGAGCAGCAGCGGCGGCCGGGCUGGGCUUGGCCAUGGACGCAGCCAGAACAGGCACAGCCUGUGCUUGCGUGAGGAAGAAGAAGGAGGAAAGGAGAAAAGAAAAAAAAAAGGAAAAGAAAAAAGGAAAAAGGAAGGAUGACCGUUGGAUGGAAAAUGGAUGGAUGAGAUUAAAAGAUAUCUCUUCGGUACACUUAAGUGAAAACGGGUUUCACGGAAAUACGCCUCCAUGUAGAGAAAACGUACUCCGCGGAAUAAAAGAAAAAGAAAUAAAGAAAUAGCUUUUUUCUAGGUCUCUAAAUUGCCAGAAAAUCAAAUAAGGCAAAUAAAAUACCAAACGGCAUUGGAAAAAUUCCAGAAAAUUCCUGAAAUUCCAAAUACCUGUUUGGAAGCUAGGAAAAAUAGUUUCCUCAUGAAAUAUAAUUUAUAAAACUAUUUUUAAUGCAUAUGCAGCUCAAAUAAAUUCUAACAAAUGCAUAUAAUCACUGUUAAGGUCCAAAUAAACUCCCAAUUAAAUUGUAAAAUCAUCUCCAAACUCAAAUAUGGUCAAAAUGAUAUGCAUGUUACAAAUUUACUCUACAAAGAACACCUCAUACAUGCAAGAACACCUCGCAGUGAUGCAAUGUCCACUGUCACUCUCUCAGGUCGAUAGAUGAAAGACCAACGAGCCAUAUGCUUUCCCUGUUCGCCAUCUCUCCUCUGUAGCUAGGCUUUAUCGUCUGUUGGCCAGUGUGGUGCAUGCGCGGAAGUUGCGCAACGGUAAUUCCCAAGCGACAAUCCUUAACCGUUUGCUGGGUUUUCCUUGCAAACAUCCCCCAACGAUUCGAUCCACAGCUAGCUCCAAAAUGCUCCAUUAUCUCGGUCACACCAAUGCCUGUGCCUACGUAACGUACGUACAGCCAUAACAAGAACGUGUAAUCUAAACAGGGAGCAACGCAUGCACUACUCAUUAUAAAACCCCAUGCAUGAACAAUUCGUAAUACUACACCAGAUCAUCGUCACGAAGGUAGCAAUGGGAAGCUUCAAGCUCUCCAUGUUUGUCUCCCUUCUCCCCUUCUUCCUCCUCUUCUUCGCCCUAGCAGUCGCCGCCGCCAGCAGGGAAGAGCUCAGCACGUACCUCGUCCACGUGCAGCCCCAGGAUGGGGACCUGUUCGCCACGCCUGACGCCCGGGAGACGUGGUACAAGUCGUUCCUCCCGGAGCACGGCCAUGGGCGUCUCCUCCACGCGUACCACCACGUCGCCAGCGGUUUCGCGGCCCGGCUGACCCGCGGUGAGCUCGCCGCGAUCACCGCCAUGCCCGGCUUCGUGGCCGCGGUCCCCAGCGUGGUCUACAAGGUGCAGACCACGCACACGCCGCGGUUCCUCGGUCUGGACACGAUGCAGGGCGGGAGGAACGCCACGGCAGGGUCCGGCGACGGUGUCAUUAUCGGGGUGCUCGACACCGGCAUCUUCCCUGACCACCCUUCCUUCAGCGGCGCCGGCAUGCCUCCUCCACCGGCCAAGUGGAAGGGCCGGUGUGACUUCAACGGCUCCGCCUGCAACAACAAGCUUAUCGGUGCUCAGACUUUCCUCAGCGGUGGCUCAUCUCCCCCCGGUGCACGUGCACCACCCACCGACGAGGUAGGACAUGGCACGCACACUUCCAGCACCGCAGCGGGAGCGUUGGUGCCAGGCGCUCAGGUGUUUGGCCAGGGCAGCGGAAGCGCGUCAGGGAUUGCUCCCCGCGCACACGUUGCUAUGUACAAGGUCUGCGCUGGCGAAAGUUGCGAUGACGUGGACAUCCUCGCUGGCAUUGACGCCGCCGUGUCCGACGGCUGCGAUGUCAUAUCCAUGUCGCUCGGUGGGGAUUCAGUGCCCUUCUUCAAUGACAGCUUCGCCAUCGGCACUUUCGCUGCCGCAGAGAAGGGAAUCUUCGUCAGCAUGGCAGCCGGCAACUCUGGCCCGAUCCACUCCACGCUGUCGAACGAGGCUCCAUGGAUGCUUACCGUGGCUGCCAGCACCAUGGACCGUUUGAUCCUCGCCAAGGUGAUCCUCGGAAACAACGCCUCCUUCGAUGGUGAGUCAAUCUUGCAGCCCAACACAACGGCGACCGUUGGGCUAGUCUACGCCGGCGCGAGCCCGACGCCCGACGCACAGUUCUGUGACCAUGGCUCACUGGACGGCUUGGACGUCAAGGGAAAGAUCGUGCUCUGCGAUCUCGACGGCUUCGGCAGUGAUGCUGGCACCGAGGUGCUGAGAGCCGGAGGCGCCGGCUUGAUCCUAGCCAACCCGUUCAUCAACGGCUACAGCACGUUCACCGACUUCGUGUAUGCUCUCCCGGCAUCCCAGGUCAGCUACGCCGCCGGGGUGUUGAUCAAGACCUACAUCAACUCCACAGCAAACCCGACGGCGCAGAUCGCCUUCAAAGGCACGGUGCUCGGCACGUCGCCGGCGCCGGCGAUCACGUCAUUCUCCUCUCGUGGGCCCAGCAUCCAAAACCCAGGAAUCCUAAAGCCUGACAUCACGGGCCCUGGUGUGAAUGUGCUUGCCGCCUGGCCAUUCCAAGUCGGCCCAUCAGCGUUUGACUCCACGCCCACCUACAACAUCAUUUCCGGCACAUCCAUGUCCACGCCACACCUCGCCGGCAUCGCCGCGCUGAUCAAGAGCAAGCACCCGGACUGGUCGCCAGCGGCCAUCAAGUCCGCCAUUAUGACGACCGCCGAUGUCAACGACCGCUCCGGCGGGCCGAUACUCGACGAGCAACACAAUACCGCCAACCUCUUCGCCGUGGGAGCCGGCCACGUCAACCCGGAGAAGGCCGUGGACCCUGGCCUGGUCUACGACAUUGCGUCGGCUGACUACAUCGGGUACCUUUGCAGCAUGUACACGGACAAGGAGGUCUCGGUGAUCGCGCGCACCGCGGUGAACUGCUCCGCCAUCACGGUGAUCCCGCAGAGCCAGUUGAACUACCCGUCCAUCGCGGUCACGUUUCCGGUGAACCGUACAGCGUUGGCUCCGAUGAUUGUUAAGCGCACUGUGAAGCUCGUCGGAGAGUCACCGGCGGAGUACAAGGCCGUGAUCGAGGUGCCGGCGGGUGGCUCGGUGAACGUCACCGUUUUGCCUAGCGUGCUUUCGUUCAGCGAGGCGAGCCCGGUGCAGAACUUCACCGUCCUCGUGUGGUCCUGGUCGGCGGAGGCCAGCCCCGCGCCGACGAAGGCCGCGCUCCUGUGGGUGUCGGCCAGGCACACCGUCAGGAGCCCCAUCUCCAUCAGCUUCACCCCGCGCUAGAUCAGCUUUGAGAGCCCCCUCGGUAUACUGGCUGCUUUUACAAUGUCAGCGUUACUUCGACAUAUUUGGGUUUGGACUUGGGAGUCACACGAUUGAUCUAGCGAAUACACAUGCAAGACAACUAUAUUUUACAUUACCUUCUUUUUAAGGUUUUUCCCAGUGCUGUGCAUCGCCCUUUUGAUGUUGUUCUUACUCACAAUAAAUGCUAAGUAAUCAUUUCCUCGAUGCAUUACCUCUUAGUGUUGUAUCUAAAGUAACAAUAUCUAAUAAUUUGCAAGAGCGGGUUAUUGACUUUGUGCUGGUUUGCGUGAAGAGUCAUUGGCAUAAGAUACGGUUUCAUCAUUAAUUAUGUGUAAUACCCGUAAAAUGCCUAAGAUAACGUGCUAAGAGACCAGCACUGUGUGAAAGGCCUAAGAAAACAGGAGAAGCAUUUCCAUUUUCCAUCACCUCUCAACAUAAAUCACAUACGCUUCCAUUUUUCAUCGAUAUCAUUUGCACAACACGCCACUAUGUUAAUCUAACUUGCAGAUACAGAUGGUAGCAAACCUCACGUGCAUCUAGCGGCAAUGCGAACUCCAGCCUCCAGGACAGUAAACAAACUCCUUGAGAACUAAAUUUUCACACACAAGAUAAUUUUUGACACAUGUACAUAAAUAAAAUGCACAGUUCUCUCUACAGUUUAUAGAUGACAUCAACGGUUAAACACUUAAUUAAAACUGCAUCAGGAGUUCAACCCAAGACGGCAUACUGUGUACAUGAAAAUUCUCUAUAUGACCUUAAUCUCCUUGAGCCAAGCUGUGUGGAGUGGGCACGGAUCUGUCUUUCCUUGUGCGAGUGCCUUUUCAGUAAGAGAGUAAAACCAACCAUUCCUCCACUUGAACUGCAACGUUGAAAUGCUUACGCUGUUAGUUUUGAAUGCCAUAAAAAGUGCAAGUGUAAGCAUUAUACAGACUGUCAGUGGUAAGACUUGCCUCUUUCACAGCAGUGGGGAAAUGUGCCACAGCUCUGGAGUAGGCACAAAGCCUCUCUUCUAUGCCUUCAUCAAACAUAAGCCCCCGCUCUGCAGCUGCAGCAGAUGCUAAUUCCGCUAUCAGGCUGGAAACCUGCAAAAGAAAAGCACAAAUGGAACUUUUGCAUUGGAAGAGUGACUGUUGUUCUCGGACAGAAAAUGGUUAAGCUCAAUUCUGGAGCAAAGAAAUGGUCAGAAUUUUUCUAGCAAAGUAACAAACAAUGCCAUUUGUUGAAUAAGAUGUAUUAACAUUGUUUUUUAACGAAAAAUGUCUUCUCAUCGUAACGCACGUGAAGGGAAAAUAACUAUACUGCACAACAUUGCACACCUUCAUUGCUUUUCAACCUUUGAAUAUUACCUCGGAUCGAUAUUCUUUUUCAACCACACCAACCGUAGCCCCUGGAUGACGAGCUCCAACAAGCAUGAAAGCUGAAAUCCAUAUCAACUUUUCUAGCAUUUGCUUCUGAAAGGCUUCCUUUUCAAGCACCUAGUUGCCAGGGUGAAACACAAUUACCACCAAUAUACAAAUCCAAAUGCUAGAAAAUGACAUGAGAGAGUGAAUGCUAGAGAAUCAACCAAUGCAUAAAAAGGACAUGAUGAAAUAAAUAAAUAAAUAUUUGCCCGAGAAAGAGUUUGGAAAAAUUACAUUCCUAUAAUUUGAACCCAAAAUAGAAAAGUUAACCAUGGGCUCAAGUGCUGAACGCCAACUUAAGCUAGAAUGUAGACAUCAGAGAAAACUGCUAAACAGCGAGAAUGAGUUAGACCUGUUAAACUCAAGAAAUGAUUACUGCCAUUAUCAAGUAUAUCAAUGAGUUAGACCUAUUAAACCUCAUGUAUUUGUAUAUGAUCAAGCUGAAGAGAGAAAAACGUGAAUCUAUUGACAAAGGAAACACCGAAUUGCACACUGUAAGCAUCAUCUAUGAUAAAUGAAGUGCUGAAGAAAAGAAAAAACACCUUGCAGGUAAGCCCGCCAUUUUGCAGGCGAGCAGCCACCGCUGGAGCCCAGCUGCCAAACGCAGCGGUCAGCCCCUCCGGGUUGGUGUCAGUGAUCCCGUCGAUGGGUGGCUCUCCAACCUUGGACACGGCGAAGUACGCCAACACCUGGUUCGCUCCCACCAGCCCCUUGCUCUCGAACCACGGAUCCAGCAUCCCGUUCUGGAAGAACACCAAAUCUGCUCCAAUAUUAGCUCAUAGAGCUCCCUCCCACCCAACACGCAGCAUCACCACAAGUAAUUUCGACGGCACAGAAUUAAUUAGCUAGUGAUCGUCAUCAUGUUCAUACCGCGCCACCGCGAUUUGGGGGUGGCCUCGAGCACGCCGUCGAGGUCGUCGUUGCGGGUGCACACCAGUAUGGGCCCAGCGGGCGCGCCGUCGGGGACCUUCUCGCCGCGGCCCACCAGCACGUCCCCGCCGAGCGGCCCCAUGCCGAGCAGCGCCUGCCCCACGCGCCCGCCGCCCACCACCACCGCCGGCUGCACCGCGGUGGCCAUCGCUGCGGAAGCCCUGAGAACCCUAGAAGCGACCGCCCUCGAGGAGGAUGGGGAGAGGAGGCGGCGGCGGAGUGGAGGUAGCGGAGUGACGGCGGUGGGGACGGAGACGGAGACGGCGGCUGUGAGGGCCAUUCCGACAAGUGGGGGUGGGAGGUAGCAGUGGGGCGGAGUGACGGCGUUUGCUUAAGGGAUGACGGAUGCCGUUAGGCAGGCCUUAAAGGGGCCACCCAGCCACCCGAUCUGGAUGGGCUUAUCUGCAGUUCUGCAUGGUUUGUGGCUGACAUAGGAUGGGCUCUAAUGGGCCAAUGGGCCUUUCGAGGGGCUUUCCUAGUGACUUGCGACCGCUCCAAACCUCAAACACGGUGCUCGCCGCUCCGUGCACACCAGCUGUUUCCGCAUCAGACUUGACGACAAUGCCGAAGUAUACGGGGUACUUGGUUUCCGUGAAAUUGAGCUUUUCAACUUGGCUUUGUUUUUUUAAUCGGAAUCCGAAAUACUUCGUCUAUUAAUUAAGAGAAAUAGAAUUGUUGAGUUAACUAACGGAAAACCGUAACUUGGGUUUGUUGACACACGUCGGGCGAAUGCCGGUGAAUCCUAAUUCGUUGAGCGCCUGUAUUCUCAGGUCAGUAUAUUUCCUGCAAAGUGUCCUCAUGCGUGCGAGCUUGGGCAGGCGGCCUUCCCAGAUUUGGCGUGCCAUUAUUCAAGGACGGGAUAUGCUUAAGCUGAUCCGUAGGAUUGGAGACGUACGGGAACACUACUGAUGUCUGGCAUGAUAAGUGGAUACCAAGAGAUGAACGGCUCUGACCGUAUGUUGCUGUACGUUCGGCCUGACUAUAAGACACGAGAGAGAUGGAGUGACUCAACACUUGGAUUGUAUUGAUGAACACAAAGGGUAUAAAUACAUGUACAGAUGCCUUCGGCAGAGCAGCUAACUCCUACAAUCUAGCCAACAAACUACUGGAUAAGCUGCCAAUGAACUACUAGAUAAGCUAGAGACGUUGGGAUAGACUAAGUCAGCUAACCAAUACUAACAGUUUAUACACACACGUGCAAGACCAAGUCACGUUACUAACACCCCUCGGCAGUCACAGCAUCGGGAUGAAGAAUGCUGAGACUGGAGCAUAGAGUAUCAAACACCGCCGUGGGCAGGCCUUUCGUCAUGAUGUCCGCGAGUUGUUGUGUCGUGGGAACAUGAGUGACUCGAACCUGGCCGAUGGCCACCUUCUCCUGGACGAAGUGUACAUCGAGCUCAAUGUUCUUCGUUCGUUUGUGAUGGACAGGGUUGGCGGCAAGGUAGACGGCGGAGACGUUGUCGCAGAACACAGCAGUGGCCGUGCGGAUGUCGCAGUGCAGCUCGCCCAGAAGUUGUCGAAGCCAAGUACACUCGGCAACAACAUUUGCCACGGCACAGUACUCCGCUUCCGCACUGGAGCGGGAGACGGUGGCCUGUCGUUUGGACGACCAGGACACAAGCGAGCCGCCAAGGAAGACGCAGUAGCCUGAGAUAGACCGCCGCGUGUCUGGGCAGCCGGCCCAAUCUGCGUCGGAGUAGACGGUGAUGUCGACGGUGGACGACGCCCGGAGCUGCAGACCAAGUGAGGUAGUUCCUCGAAUGUACCGAAGAACUCACUUCACCAAUUGCCAAUGAGCGUCCGUCGGCGAGUGCAUGUGGAGACACACUUGAUGAACGGCGUAGGCAAUGUCAGGCCGUGUCAUCGUCAAGUACUGUAGGGCACCGACGAUGCUACGAUAGCCUGAGGGAUCGGCAUAGGGAGUACCAUCGGUCGAGGACGACUUGGGCUUGGUGUCGACGGGCGUACCGGCAGGCGUGCAGUUGCACAUGGAGGCAUGGUCCAGUAGCUCCUCGGCGUAGUAUUCCUGUGACAGGAAAAAUACGGCGGCUGUCCGAGUUACCUGAAUCCCAAGAAAGAGAUGAAGCGGUCCUAAGUCCUUCAUUGAGAACUCAGAACUCAGGCUGGUGAUGAUGUGUCGGAGCAGUCGUUCAGUGGACGUCGUCAGGACGAUGUCCUCAACGUAGAGCAGCAGGUACGCGGCGUCGAUGCCGUGACGAAGCACGAACAGCGACGGGUCGGAGGUGGUGGCAACAAAACCUGUAGAUCGAAGGAAGGUGGCGAUGCGAGUGUACCAAGCCCUUGGGGCCUGCUUCAGUCCGUACAGAGACUUGGAGAGGAGGCACACAUGAUCGGGCUUCGAUGGAUCGACAAAUCCCGUCGGCUGCUGUGAGUAGACACGCUCGGACAAGAUGCCAUGCAAGAAGGCAUUCUUCACGUCGAGCUGGUGGACAGGCCAUGCACGAGCAGCAGCGAGAUCGAGCACAGUGCGGAUCGUGGCGUACUUAACCAUCGGAGAGAACGUAUCGCCGAAGUCGACUCCGGGGCGCUGAGAAAACCCGCGGACGACCCAACGCGCCUUGUAGCGCUCGAGGGAGCCGUCAGGUCGAGUCUUGUGGCAAAAAAUCCACUUGCCGGAAACGAGGUUCGCGCCGUGCGGUCGUGGAACUAAGGUCCAAGUGUUGUUGUUGAUGAGGGCGUCAUAUUCUUCCUGCAUAGCAGCAUGCCAGUGCGCGUCGCGAAGGGUGGCACGAGCUGACGACAGAAUUGGUGAAGGUGUGGUCGAUGCAGUGCAGUCGAACAAGCGCUUGGGGAGGAAGAUGUUGUUCUGUGCACGAGUGACCAUGCGAUGCACCGGCGCUAGCGGCACAAUGGGCAGGAUGCUUGAGGACGUUGGCGUGGACGGCGAUGGCAUGGUCGGCGAUGGCGUAGACGGCGAUGGCGUGGGCGCGGUGUCGAUGCCGGAGGUGGGUGGCGCGGGCCGGUCGGCGGACGGUACGAAGCCACCGGAAGACGGGCGCGCGCCGGACGAAUGCAUCGAGGGCAUGUCAGACGCGGGAGAGGUGCCUGCAGGGCACACCGUGGCUGCAGCUGGGCGCGAUGGAGAGGCCGGAGGAGCAGCACGUACGGGACCCAGUGAGAGGAUCGCCCGGUCGAAGGACGCGGCGUCGUCGGCUGGUGUCGGAGCUGGCGUCGGCUGGGCGUUCACCUGUGCAAAAGGAAAAACGUCCUCGUGGAAAUGAACAUGCCGAGAGGUUAGCACACGACGAGAAACCGGGUCAAAACACCUGUAUCCGCGGUGAUCUGCAGAGUAACCAAGAAACACACAAGAAACUGAACGAGGCAUCAGUUUGUUCCUAGAAGUAGCAAUAGUGUUAGGAAAACACAAGCAUCCAAAAACACGCAAAUGACAGUAUGGAGGAGGAAUGCCAAAAAGAAGCUCGUAGGGAGUGUGCAUUUGACGAGGUUUGCAUGGCCGAAGAUUGAGCAGGAGGGUAGACGUGGCAAGAGCAUCAGCCCAGAAUUUUGGUGGCAUGUAGGCUUAAAAGAGGAGAGUGCGCAUGCCGUCGUUGCGGGUCCGGAGGAUGCGCUCCGCCUUGCCGUUCUGUUGCGAGGUGUACGGACACGAGAGGCGAAGGUGGAUGCCGUGUCGCGAGAGAAAAGAGCGGAGGGCGGCGUUGUCAAAUUCCUUGCCGUUGUCAGUUUGAAGUGCAAGAAUGCGCAGACGAAACUGAGUAGCAACAUACGCGUGGAAGGAGAGGAGGGAAGGAAGAGCAUCAGAUUUACAGCGCAGGAGAAAAGUCCACACAAAAUGUGAGUAAUCAUCAAGUAUAACUAAAUAAUAAGUAAAUCCUGAGGAGCUCACAACAUGCGAGGUCCAAACAUCACAAUGAAUCAACUGAAAAGGAAAGGAAGUGAUAGUAGUAGAUUGCUGAAAUGGAAAUCUAGUGUGUUUGCCUAAGCGACAAGCAGUACAGUGGUGAGAGGCUUCACUGUCUUUAAUACAGGAAAAGGGGAAUGAACGAAUAAUGUGAGCUAAAGAAGCAUCUCCUAGGUGACCAAGGCGACGAUGCCACAAGCUGACAGAGGUGGCAGUGAAGGCGGCAUGACAAGGACGAGCUCCAGGGGAUGACCGAACCGGGUACAGAUCGCCGGGGCUGUUACUUCGCAGAAUCGCCGCCCUGGAAUGCAGAUCCUUUACAGAGAAACCAGCCGGGUCAAACUCAACAGAAACGUUGUUAUCUCGUGAGAGAGUUCGUACAGAAAGUAAGUUCUUAACGAGGUUAGGAGAGACAAGUACAUUACGAAGAUAAAGAGGACGAGCAGAAGUAGAAAUAGAGGCAGUGCCAAUUGCAGUAAUAGGAAGAUGAGCACCAUUACCUACUGUAAUUUGAGACGAGGUAGAGUAAGGGGAGAAGGAGGAGAGGUUACUUGUGCUGGAUGUCAUGUGCGACGAGGCGCCCGUGUCAAGGAACCAGUCGCCGCUGCCGCCGCCGUUGUUCUGGAGCGACAUCUGUUGCAUGGCCGCCAUGAAGUUGGGAUCCAGAGCAGGAGCCGUGGGCGUCGCCGAGCUGAAGGAUGGCGCCAUCAUGGAGGUGUUGGCGUUGUAGGCUUGCGGAGCAGUGGGCGCCAUGGGUGGCCGGGGACCGAGGACGCCAGCGCCGGGCACACGCGGUGUCUGUUGCCAGGCCUGAAAGGUGCCAGACCACGGGUUGACGCCGUGUGGCCAGGAUGGUGCGGCAGGCGAGUUGGGGAAGCGCGAGCCGCCGCCGGCUGGAGAGGUCGACGCAGUCUUGCGCUUCUUGUUCUUCUUGUUGCUGCUGGAAGGAGAGCCCUGUGGGGACGCAGGUGCCGGUGCGCCGGAGCGGUCGACGAAGAAGGCGGCGGCAGCUUGACGACGCAUGGCUUGCUCCUGGCGAUGCUCCUCGAGCAGCAAAUACGAACGGGCGCGCAUGAAGGAUGGCAGUGGCUGCUGCAUGGUGAGCACCGGGAUGGCGUGGCCGAGAGAAGGGUUGAGACCACGGAGCAUGUUGAAGAGCAUGGACUGGUCGGAGACCUGAAUGUCGACGUCACGCAGGCCGUCGGCGAGGACCUUGAGGCGCGAGUAGUACUCCGUGACAGAGAGGUGGCCCUGCUGCAGACUGCGGAACUCCUCCUCCAUGUAGACGGCCUGAGUCAUCAUGUUGUCCAGAAAAAGACUUGAGAGUUUUGUCCAUACCACGAAAGCCGGAUCGUGCGGCGCGAGGAUGAUGUCGAGGAUCUCCUCGCUGAUGGUGGUGUAGAGCCAGGACACAAUGGUGAGGUCGGCCUUCAUCCAUUCGGCGUCCUCAAGCUUGUGGUCAGCGCUGGCAACGAGGUGCUCCUCGAGGCCGUUCCGGCCGAUGACCUUCAUGAAGAGGGUGCUCCACCGGCCAUAGUUGUUUCGCUUGAGGUCGAGGGCGGUGAGGACGUGCUCCUUGAUGCGGAUAUGCUGCAGAGAGGCAGCCGUCACCGGGAUGGUGCCCGCAUCACGGACGACGGACAUGGCGGCCACAUCAUCAUCGAAGAGAGCACGGGCAGUGGGGAGAGGUGCCAUGGGCGAGCUCAGGGAGACGCCUGGGCUUGUGCCGGCGCCGAGGGCAGCGGCGAUGCUUACAGGCUGUGGAGUGGAGCCAGGAGGGAGGAUAGUAGGCGACACAAGAGCGGCAGUUGAAGCUGUGAGUGCGCCGGCUGCCGUGGAGGUCAGAGGGAGGCUGGUGUCAGGGUUUGCCAUGAGGGCAGCGGAAGCGAGUGCGGUCUCAGAGACGUCGAGAUCUGAUACCAUGUAAGACACGAGAGAGAUGGAGUGUCUCAACACUUGGAUUGUAUUGAUGAACACAAGGAGUAUAAAUACAUGUACAAAUGCCUUCGGCAGAACAGCUAACUCUUACAAUCUAGCCAACAAACUACUGGAUAAGCUGCCAACGAACUACUAGAUAAGCUAGAGACGUUAGGAUAAACUAAGUCAGCUAACCAAUACUAACGGCUUGUACACACACGUGCAAAACCAAGUCACGUUAUCACGAAGCACCUGUCAUAGUUUCUGAAUUGAUAGAUCAGACGACGGCAACUGACGAUGGCAUCCGUGGCCAAGUCCAUGCACGCCAAGCCUUUGCAGCCACGCGUUGGCUGAGCCCACACGCGCACGACUCGGUUCCAUGCAAUGGUGGAAGUUCACGCCGAGCCCAAGCGUGUGCCGACGGAGGCGAGCGUUGUCUUGGGAAGGAGGAGAGGCGCUGUUGGUGGAUUAGGAAAUAGGAGAGGCGACGUUGCCUUAUUGGGUUGCCGGGAUGGGAAGGAGAAUUAAAGACUGAUUGGACGGGUGGGUACAAUCAGGGGCUAGCUUUUGGGAAGGCCGCUUGAGAAAGGGGAGCGCGCCUGCUUGUCUAUGGAACAAUUAGAAAAACUAACAAAAUAGUAUUCUGAUUAAUUCUUAUGACACAUAAUUUAAUAACUAUUGGCAAAUAGUAUAUCGAUGCCAGACUUGGCCCUGAGUUACUUGCAGGCCGUCACUGUACAAGGAGUUUCAUCCACAUAUCCAAGAGCAAAUAGAAACUAUAAAUCUGAAUGCUUAAUAAUCUAUACAACCUAUAAAUUUAUGAUGAAAUGCUACAACCAUGGGUGAUGGGUGAAAGUAAGCUUCAGAAGUGGAGGUGCAAACUUGGAUAUAUCUAAACAAAGAUUGUAGUAUUGCACAAUAAUUUUCCGUGUGCUGAAAAGACUUUGUUCCUAUAAAAAGAAACGAUGCUCCUUGAUAAGAUGCCUACACAAAACUGAAGGAAAACUAAGGGGAACACCGAUUAUCAUAUUUUAAUAAUAACAUUAAGUAAAUAAAUGCAGAAAUCAACAGUUUGUUGGCAAUGUAGGCUACUAAAUGUGUUUGACUUGAUCAGACCUGCAAUAUCAACAAUAAAAAAAUAUAUACUACACACUCAGAUAUGCUAGGAGAAGUUAAUAAAAAUAUCAGGUCUGCUCUGACAUCAUAACCAAAGCAUGUACAUGUAGGGGUUAGCUAAAUCAGGCUACAUAAGUAAAAUAGGAAAAAAAAUGUUACUUGAUGAAGACAACUAUCUCGAGAUUCAUGCAAUUUCGCUAAGGGAUAAAAUCCCAUAAUUGGUAUCCACUGCUAUUUGGGAAAGAAAUUAAGGAAUUAAAAACAUAUCUACAAACAUAUCUUAUACUCCCUCCGUCUCAUAUUAAGUGCCGAAAUAUUACAUGUAUAUAAGCGUUUUUUAGUUAUAGAUACAUCCAUAUUUGGACAAAUUUUAGUCACUUAAUAUUAGAUGGAGGGAGUAAAUCAUAAUUAUACAUGUUGUUUGCCCCUCUCUUUUUUGCGCUUUUGUCCCAAAUCCCAACCCCUGAACAAAUGGAGGGAGUAAAUCAUAAUUAUACAUGUUGUUUGCCCCUCUUUUUUUUGCGCUUUUGUCCCAAAUCCCAACCCCUGAACAAAAGGCUGCAGACAAUAAACAUAGCACAUUGUUCAUAUUUCAUAUUAACAAUAUGAAAGACCAAUAGGAUAUGAAGGAAAGAAAACAAGGAGUCCAUCAGGUACAAUACGGGCAAACAUGGUUUAUGAUUUGCUGACUACAUCUAAAUUAAAGUAUCUCUUUUACUUCUGCUAAUUCUGAGAAUGCAACACCAAGCAAGGCAUUACUUAUCCCGGUAACUUCUCUAAUUCAGUCAAAUACAGUAAACUCCUACUUAUAUACCUUACAAAGCACAAAAACAAAUUUACAAUCUGGGUCUUCUUAAUUCAGCUGCCUGCUACAAUCUAUAAUCCGUUGUUAACAUCAGCUAUUUGAGACAAUUUCAGAUUUCAGAGAAAAAAAAACAAAGAGGCAGGUGCCCACGUUGCCUUCAGGUCGCUGCAGUGCUGAUCUCUCUGGCGUGAGCUGCUGCUGCGGCGGGGGCUCGGGGGGCGCAAUGGGUGGCGGGAAGUCUUGCGAGCAGGGGAAGGAAGGAACAGGAGGUCGGGGGAGAGGGCGCCGGUGACCGGAGAGGAAGGGGGCUGCGGCAGCGAGAUGGAGCAGGUUGGAGUGUUGGCAAGGGGAUCGAGCAGGUUGGACGCUGGGGGCGUUGGGGAUUCGGGGUUGAGACUUGAGACUUGAGAGGAUCGUGGGGGAGAGGGAAAUAAUGGGCGGUGGCAUAUUGGCCGUAAUUUUGAUGACAUGACGUACCGCGACCGUACCAUCAACACCAACUUUAAUUUAAUAUAUUGGUAUAGAUUCAUUUCGUCCGUAGAAAGACGCCCAAACACGGGCGAAGACGCAUGGACGAACAACGGGCUUCCUUUAUUAUUAGAAAGGUAGAUAGAUUGUACUAAAUUCAUGCCAAUUAAUAUGAAAGUGGAACAGAGGGAGUAAUUGGUAGUACCUUUGGACGCUAGACGAACCUGCACGUCUGCAGAAACCAUAUAUAUCAGAAAAGAAAGAAAUUCUAUAGGUUUCGUCUGCCCCUUUCUUUCUAUUGGUAUAACUGGUAUGUCUCCAUUUCUUUUUGAACAUAUAUGUACGGCAUCAACAGUUUAUGUUUUCUGUGUCGAGGACAUGUAGUCACUGAGAUUAUGCAGAGAUUCAGCAGAAGAGCGGUAUCUUCCCUUUUAAAAAAAAGUGGAGCAAUGUCUUCAGUUCAGGAGUUCAGAAAAUGGGUUUUGAGUUCCUUCUUACACUUUUUUGAGGGAAGGUUUUGAGUUCCUUGUGCUUUGGGGGCAUGCGGCGAUCCCGGGCCCCAUUGAAGGCCACCGUCUACGUUUUAUCGGAGGUUUGGAUGUCAAAUUCGUGAGGGAAAAGUAAGCUAACGGAAAACCUUUCGCAGAACCACACUUUUUGAAUCAAGUUGUCUUAGUCAGCCCGAAACCGGGUGGUUUCGCGGUUUUGCUUGAUUUUUUACCGGAUGAGCCCACCUGUCCGACGCCACUUCGGCCCCGAAAACUUGCGGGGGUGAGAAGGGGGCUGGGGGUUUAAUCACGGGCUAACGGGUCAGCUCGGCUUGGGGCCGGCGUGGCGUACAACAGAUGGACCCACCUGUAAGAAAUCAAGCAAAACCGCCAAACCACUCGCUUUCGGGCUGACUGAGACAACUUUACUAAAAAUAUGUGGUUCUGUGAACGGUUUUCAGUUAAAUGUGGUUCAACGACACGACUGGCACAAAAACUGUGGUUCUGCGAUAUGUAAGUAAGAUGUAGCUGUCUUGCAUAUGUAUUUGUUAGAUCAACCGUGUGACUCCCAAGUCCCAACCCAAAUAUGUCGAAGUAAGGAAAUGCUGACAUUGUAAAAGCAACCAGUAUACCAAGGGAGCUCUCAAAGCUGAUCUAGCGCGGGGUGAAGCUGAUGGAGAUGGGGCUCCUGACGGUGUGCCUAGCAGACACCCAGAGGAGCGCGGCCUUUGUCGGCGCGGGGCUGGUCUCCGCCGACAAGGACCACACAAGCACGGUGAAGUUCUGCACCGGGCUUGCCUCGCUGAACGAAAGCACGCUCGGCGAAACGGUGACGUUCACCGAGCCGCCUGCCGGCACCUCGAUCACGGCCUGGUACUCCGCUGGUGACUCUCCGACGAGCUUCACCGUGCGCUUAACAAUCAUCGGAGCCAACGCUGUACGGUUCACCGGGAACGUGACCGCGAUGGACGGGUAGUUCAACUGGCUCUGCGGGAUCACCGUGACCGUGGAGCAGUUCACCACUGUGCGCGCGAUCACCGAGACCUCCUGGUCCGUGUACAUGCCGCAGAGGUAUCCGAUGUACUCAGUCGGCGCAAUAUCGUAGAUGAGCCCGGGGUCUACCGCCUUCUCUGGGUUGACGUGGCCGGCUCCGACGGCGAAGAGAUCGGCGAUAUUGUGCUGCUCGUCGAGUAUCGCCUCGCCGGAGCGGUCGUUGACAUCGGCGGUCGUCAUGAUGGCGGACUUGAUCGCCGCCGGAGACCAGUCCGGGUGCUUGCUCUUGAUCAGCGCAGCGAUGCCGGCGAGGUGCGGCGUGGACAUGGAUGUGCCGGAGAUGAUGUUGUAGGUAGGCCUGGGGUCGAAUGCUGGUGGGCCGACUUGGAAUGGCCAGGCGGCAAGUACAUUCACACCAGGGCCCGUGAUGUCAGGCUUCAGGAUUCCUGGGUUCUGGGUGCUGGGCCCACGAGAGGAGAAUGACGUGAUUGCCGGUGCCGGCGACGUGCCGAGCACCGUGCCUUUGAAGGCGAUCUGCGCCGUCGGGUUUGCCGUGGAGUUGAUGUAGGUCUUGAUCAGCUCCCCGGCGGCAUAGCUGACUUGGGACGUGGGGAGCACAUACACGUCGGCGAAUGUGCUGUAACCGUCAAGGAUUUGGUUGGCCAAGAUCAUGCCGGUGCCUCCGGCUCUCAGCACCUCGGCGUCGGCGUCGCCGCCGAAGCCGCCGAGAUCGCAGAGCACGAUCUUACCCUUGACGUCAAAGCCGUCCAGUGAGCCUUUGCCACAGAAUUGUGCACCGCGCGUCGGGCUCGCACCAGCGUAGACUAGCCCAACUGUCGCCGUUGUGUUGGGCUGCAAGAUUGACUCACCAUCGACUCACCAUCGAAGGAGGCGUUGUUUCCGAGGAUCACCUUGGCGAGGAUCAAACGGUCCAUGGUGCUUGCAGCCACGGUGAGCAUCCAUGGAGCCUCGUUCGACAACGUGGAGUGGAUGGGGCCAGAGUUGCCGGCUGCCAUGCUGAUGAAGAUCCCCUUCUGCGCGGCAGCGAACGUGCCGAUGGCGAUGCUGUCAUUGAAGAAGGGCACAGAAUCCCCACCGAGCGACAUGGAUAUGACAUCGCAGCCGUCGGACACGGCUGCGUCAAUGCCGGCGAGGAUGUCCACGCUAUCGCAGCCUUCGUCGGCGCAGACCUUGUACAUGGCGACGUGUGCGCGGGGAGCAAUUCCUGACGCGCUGCCGCUGCCCUGGCCAAGCACCUGAGCGCCUGGCACCAAUGCUCCCGCCGUGGUGCUGGAAGUGUGCGUGCCAUGUCCUACCUCGUCGGUGGGUGGUGCACGUGCACCGGGGGGAGAUGAGCCACCGCUGAGGAAAGUCUGAGCACCGAUAAGCUUGUUGUUGCAGGCGGAGCCGUUGAAGUCACACCGGCCCUUCCACUUGGCCGGUGGAGGAGGCAUGCCGACGCCGCUGAAGGAAGGGUGGUCGGGGAAGAUGCCGGUGUCGAGCACCCCGAUAAUGACGCCGUCGCCAGACCCUGCCGUGGCGUUCCUCCCGCCCUGCUGCGUGUCCAGCUCGAGGAACCUUGGCGUGUGCGUGGUCAGCACCUUGUAGACCACGUUGGGGACCGCGGCCACGAAGCCGGGCAUGGCGGCGAUCGCGGCGAGCUCACCGCAGGUGAGCCGGGCCGCGAAACCGCUGCCGACGUGGUGGUAUGCGUGGAGGAGACGGCCAUGGCCGUGCUCCGGGAGGAACGACUUGUACCACGUCUCCCGGGCGUCAGGCGUGGCGAACAGGUCCCCAUCCUGGGGCAGCACGUGGACGAGGUACGUGCUGAGCUCUUCGCUGCUGGUGGCGGCGGCUGCUAGGGCGAAGAUGAGGGGAGAAGGGAGACAAGCAUGGAGAGCUUGAAGCUUCCCAUUGCUAUCUUCAUGACGAUGAUCUGGUGUAGUAUUACGAAGUGUUCAUGCAGCAUGGGGCUUUAUAAGUAGUGCAAUGCGUUGCUCCCUGUUUAUAUUACACGUUCUUGUUAUGGCUGUAUGUAAUAGGCAGGCAUUGGUGUGACCGAGAUAAUGGAGCAUUUUGGAGCUAGCUGUGGAUCAAAUCGUUCGGGGAUGUUUACAAGGAAAAUCCAGCAAACGGUUAAGGAUUGUCGCUUGGGAAUUACCGUUCCGCAACUUCAACACAUGCACGACACUGGCAAGAAGAAAUCACAGCACAAGGACACACGGAUUUAACGUGAAAAACCCUCUCAAACAACGAGAGGGAAAAAACCACGUGCGCCAGUCAACAAAAUCUCACUAUAUGGAGAGUGUUUACAACGCGGGAAGGUUUUACAGAUGCAACUCGUGAGAACUCUGCCCAAAAUGACGGCAUACAAGGGAUAUAUAUCGCAGAAGCAUUAGGAUAACUUAGAUCCGUAACGGUCACACCGGAAGUUCCGGUUGGAGGCCGGAAGUUCUGCAUAUUCUUGAAUAUCCGGAAGUUCCGCAACAAGUUCCGCAAUUUCCUAAAAAGUAACAGAGAGUAUCCGGAGGUUCGGCCGGAAGUUAGGCCGGAAGUUCCGGCACCUGAAAUGGCCGGAAGUUUGGCCAGAACUUCCGGCCACUGGAAUUUGGAUCACAUCCAACAAACUCCACCUUGAAACAAUUUCCUCCUUAUAGCAUGAACAACAACAACUCCUGAAACAAAGAAAACACUUUCGGCGCCAACAACCACUAGGGCUAAACAGUUAUACCAACUAUACUUGAGCAUAGCUCAAACUUAGCAAUAGAAACAUGCUUUGUCAUCAUACAACAGGAUUAUCAUGAUUGCUGAUCUUGCAUACCUUCAAUUUAGCUUGUGCAACAACGUUCGAACAAAAUGGUACUUGACUUCAAUGUGCUUGGUUCUCUCAUGGAGUAUCUGAUACUUAGUAAGGUAAAUAGCACUUUGACUGUCACAAAACAGGUUAAUGCAAAAAACAUCUUGACAAAGCUCAGCAUAUAAAUGCUUCAACCAAACAGAUUCUUUGCAACCUUCAGCAAUAGCCAUAUAUUCUGCUUCAGUUGUAGAUUGAGCAACAACUGGUUGCAGUGUUGCCUUCCAACUCACAGCACAUCCACCUACCGUGAACACAUAACCUGUGAGGGAUCUUCUCUUAUCCAAGUCGGCAGCAAAAUCUGAAUCCACAUAACCAGCGAGUUCUUCAUCAGUCUUGCCAAACUUGAAGCAAGCAUUGGAUGUGCUACGGAGGUACCUGAAGAUCCACUGAACAGCUUUUCAAUGUUCUUUACCGGGAUUAGCCAUGUAACGGCUGACCAAACUCAUAGCAUAUGAUAAAUCCGGACGUGAAUAAACCAUGUCAUACAUCAAGGAACCAACAGAGCUAGAAUAGGGAACUCGUGACAUAUACUCAAUAUCUUCAUCAGAAGUAGGACAUUGCAACGCUGACAACAAGCAAUUGGAGUACUAACACACUUUGCAUCAUGCAUAUUAAAACGGUGAAAUACUUUCUCAAUGUAACUUUGCUGACUAAGAAAUAGCAACCUAAAUUUUCUAUCCCUUUUCAUUUUCAUACCUAGGAUUUUCUUAGCAGCACCAAGAUCCUUCAUCUCAAAUUCACUACUUAGUUGUGCCUUCAAAGUAGUGAUUACUUUCAUGCUCUUGGCAGCAAUUAAUAUAUCAUCAACAUAUAACAGCAAGUAUAUAGGUGAUCCAUCAACAAAUUUAAUGUACACACAACUGUCAUACUGAGAUCUAGUAAAGCCACGUGAGAUCAUAAAUGAAUCAAACCUUUUAUACCACUGUCUAGGAGAUUGUUUCAAACCAUAAAGGGACUUUUUCAACUUACACACAAAGUCCUCUUUACCAGGAACUAUGAACCCUUCAGGUUGGUCCAUGUAUAUUUCCUCCUCAAGCUCUUCAUGCAAAAAUGCAGUUUUCACAUCUAACUGCUCAAACUUAAGAUCAUGCAUAGCAACAAUACCAAAGAAAGUACGGAUGGAACUAUGCUUUACCACUGGAUAGAACACAUCAUUGUAAUCAAUACCUGAUAUUUGACUGAAACCUUUUGCCACUAACCUUGCCUUAAACCUCAUAGGCCCAUUAGGAGACAAACCCUCCUUUCUCUUGAAGAUCCACUUGCAGCGAACGGCCUUCUUUUGUUUAGGCAAGAACACAACAUCCCAUGUGUCAUUCUUUUCAAGAGAUUGCAUCUCCUCUUGCAUGGCAGACAACCACUUCACACGGUCGCCAGAAACAACAGCUUCAUUAUAUGUGGCCGGUUCACUAUCAUGCUCCACCUGUUCUGCACAACCCAAAGCAUAAUAAACAAGAUCACACUCUUCAAUUAAACGUGGGCGAGGACGUUUAUUCCUCUUUGGACGGUCAGCUGCAAUAGACCGUGUGGGUUGCUGCAAAACAGGUGGUGAGGGUGGAACAAUAUCAUCAUUAUUAUCAUCAUUGUUCUCAUCAUCAUUACCAUUAUCAACCUGAGCAUCAUCGUUGUCAACAAUUUCAUCAACGUGCUCCACCUGCACUCUAAGUCUCUCCUCUUCAAUGCGAGAGGCAUCAGUGAACAAAGUAUCAUGAUACAUAACUUUUUCAUUAAAGACAACAUUGCUGCUCAGCAAAAUCUUUUUAGCUUCAGGAUUCCACAACCUGAAAGCUUUAACUCCAGAACCAUAGCCAAGAAAAAUGCACUUAACAGUUCUAAACUCUAGCUUUCCAUUAUCAACGUGAGCAUAAGCGGUGCAACCGAAAACUCUCAACUGUGAAUAAUCAGCAGGUUUACCAGACCAUAUCUCAAUGGGAGUUUUCUUGUCAAGUGGAAUAGAAGGUGACCUGUUUAUGAGGUAGCAUGCGGUGGAAGCUGCAUCAGCCCAAAAACGCCUGCCCAAACCUGCAUUGGACAGCAUGCAACGGGCCCUCGAUAUGAUGGUUCUGUUCAUGCGCUCAGCCACGCCAUUUUGUUGUGGAGUACGGGCAACCGUGUAGUGCCUAACCACACCAUCAUUACUGCAAAACUCCUCAAACUCAUCAAAAAUAAAUUCACCACCAUUAUCAGUACGCAAAUUUUUUACCUUCCUUUCAGUUUGCUUUUCUACCAUAGCUUUCCACUUCUUAAAAGCACCAAAAACAUCAGAUUUGUGUUUCAGAAAAUAAGGCCAAACUUUUCUUGAGUAAUCAUCAAUAAUGGUAAGCAUGAAAUUAGCACCACCAAUAGAUGUCUUACGGGAGGAUCCCCAAACAUCAGCAUGCACAUAAUCUGAUAUGCCUUUGGUGUGGUAUGAACGGAACAAAUGAACUUAACCCUUUUGUGCUUACAAUAAACACAGUGCUCACAAAACUCAAGCUUACUCAAGUUGCAGCCAUCGAUGAGCUCUCUCUUGACCAACUCUGCCAUCCCAUGUUCACUCAUAUGCCCAAGACGCAUAUACCAUAGAUUCGUUUUUGCACAAUCAUUAGAAUCAUUAGGUGUAACGGCAGCAGCAAAACCAGGCAAAGUGCUACCUCUAAGAACAUAUAAUUUGGCAGAAUUCAUAUCACCUAUCAUGUGAAUGAGAAAACCUCUACAUACCUUCAAAAGUCUACGCCCUCCGGCGUACUUGUACCCGCCACAAUCCAUGGUACUAAGUGAGAUCAAAUUUCUUGCCAUGCUUGGUAUGUGCUUCACCUCUUUCAACGUGCGUGUCAUGCCAUCAUGGGUCUUGAUCUGAACGGACCCAACGCCAACAAUAUGACAAGGAUUGUCAUUUCCCACACGCACAAAAUCUCCAGUCUGCACAGACUCACAAGAACUGAACCAAUCCUUGUUACAACAAAUAUGAAAGAAACAUGCUGUAUCAAGAAUCCAUUCAUCAUCAUGGGAAGCACAAGCAGCAAGAACAGCGAGGCAUUCACCGUCAGAGCUGUCGGUAGAAACGACAUCGGCCUUACCAUUACCAUCGGACUUGUCUUUCGGUUUGUAGGUACAGUUCCUUUUCUCCUUGUUCUGCAGUUUAUAACAAUCCUCAAUAACAUGAUUAUUUUUCUUACAAUACCUGCAGAUAUCUUUUCCUCGGGACUUUGAACGAGCUUUUCUGUCCCGGCUCUUAUCUCGGUUGUCAUAGUUGUUGUUCCUCUGCUCGAUCCAGCCACGAACCUGCAGAGCUUCUGCCUUUGACGACGACCCAUUGGUCUGCACCAUAGACUUCAUCUUUUCUUUCUGUCUAAGUGCUUCUAAAACCUCAUUAAGGGUUAGAGAUUCAUGGCUAUAAAGAAUUGAAUCGCGGAAAUUUGUAUAGGAACUAGGCAACGAGCAUAAGAGUAAGAUGGCUAGAUCCUCAUCAUCAUACUUAACCUCCAAAGCUUGCAAGUCAGAAACUACCUCUCGAAAAACAGUUAAAUGAGAUAUUACCGAUCCACCUUCUUGCAGCUUAUGGGUGAACAACUUCAUCUUUACACGCAUCUUACUGGUAAGAUCUUUAGACAUGCAGAUCGAUUCCAGUUUCAGCCACAGGGUUGUUGCGGAUUUCUCCUCCAACACUUUCUGCAAAAUAUUAUUGGAUAGAUGAAGUUGAAUCAAAUACAAAGCCUUACGAUCUUUGUGUUUCUCUUCAGCAGUCCACUCCUUUCCAUCCUUCUUGCCGAAGGAAUCAAGGGCUUCAUCCAGAUCUGAAGUUUGGACGAGAAUCGCCUGCAUCUUCACUUGCCACAACGAGAAUCGUGUGGUCUAGUCCAGCUGCGGCAGAUCGAACUUCAAGGUAGACAUGUCGCAAACCCUAAGCGGAACCUGGGGCUCUGAUACCACUUGUUAUGAACGCCACAAGCAAGAACGAAGAACGAAGAAGAAAUCAUGGCACAAGGACACACAGAUUUAACAUGGAGAACCCUCUCAAACAACGAGAGGGAAAAAAGAACCACGGGCGCCAUACAGGGAUAUAUAACGCCAGGAAGGUUCUACAGAUUCAACUCGUGAGAACUCUGCCCAAAACGGCGCCAUACAGGGAUAUAUAUAGCAGGAGCAUUAGGGCAACUCAGAUCCGUAACGGUCACACCGAAAGUUCCGGUUGGAGGCCGGAAGUUCCGCAUAUUCUUGAAUAUCCGGAAGUUUCGCAGCAAGUUCCGCAAUUUCUUGAAAAGUAACAGAGAGCAUCCGGAGGUUCGACCGGAAGUUGGGCCGGAAGUUCCGGCACCUGGAAUGGCCGGAAGUUGGUCUUCCGGCCACUGGAAUUUGGAUCACAUCCAACACAGACGAUAAAGCCUAGCUACAGAAGAGAGAUGGGCAAACAGGGAAACAUAUAUCCAGGGAAGGGAAAGCAUGGCUCGUUGGUCUUUCAUCUAGAGAGCUUCAUCUAUCGACCUGAUAGAGUGACAGUGGACAUUGCAUCACUGCUCGUAGCAUGUCUGAGGGAAAAUGUUUGGUGCCGUCCUUUUGCAUUAACUAAUACUACUAUGGAUGGACGGCUGCAGCAUUUCUAGUUUUUUUUUCAUUGGCGCUUGGUAAAAAAUAAAAACAAUAAGUUUCUUGUACUACUAUGGAUGGACGGCUGCAGCAUUUCUAGUGUUUUUUUCAUUGUCGGCGUGAUAAAAAAUAAAACAAUAAGUUUCUUGUUGGAAACGAUCCUCCGUUUUCGAAAUGCAUAGCGUUAUAGUUUCCAUUGACUGUCAAACAUUUUAAGUUUCGGGAAAUUUAUAGCAAAGCAAAAGAUAUCAAUAUAUACAUUAUCAAAAUCAAGGUACCAUGAAAAUAUAUUUCACAAGGGAUCUAAUUUUUUCAUUUGGCACCGCAGAUGUUUUGAUAUUAUAUUUUUUGUUGCAAAGUUGGUUAAACUUUAGAAAAUUUGAUAGUCAGCAAAUGGAAACUAGAAAUUGUUUUGUUUGGUACUAGAGUAUUGGGGUGUUUUCUUGGGUAUUAUCCACUCCAAAUUGAAAAACACUAGAAACACCAAAUGAUUGUUUGGUAGGAAGAGUUUCGAGGGGAUUUUUCCUAGUUUUCUCCCACAAAGCACUCCAUUUUUGUACCAAAUUAAAACACUUCUCGUACUAGUGUUUUUUUUUAUAAAAUACACUAACACCAAACAAGCCCAAGGCUUUGUUUGGCACUAAGGCCUCGUUUGGUGCUAGUGUAUUUUUUAGAAAAAAAAACACUACUCCCUGCGUUCCUAAUUAACUGACGUUGGCUAUUUUGCAAAGAAACCCUUGUAAUUUUUUAAAUAAACCUGCAAACCACAUCUUCAAUUAAACGUGGACUGUGCAUUGAUUUCAAAAAAACAUGGUUUUUUUCGAAAAAGUUCUGAUAAAACGUGGACUGCAGGUUUUUUCAAAAAUUUACAGGGGUUUCUUUGCAAAACAGCCAGUGCCAAUUAAUUAGGAACAGAGGGAGUACUAUGAGAAGUGUUUUAAUUUUGUUAAAAAAUGUAGUGUUUUGUGGGGGAAAUCUAGGGAGUUUCUACCAAACAAUCAAUUGGAGUUUCUAGUGUUUUUCAAUUUGGAAGUGGAUAAUACCUAGAAAACACACCAAAAAUUCUAGUACCAAACGAGGCCUUAGGCAUUGUUUGGAUGUAGGUAUUAAAGAGAGGAAUUGAAUUGAGAUGGGAAUUUCAAAUCUGUGUGGUAUUGGAAUUGGCCUCCAAUUCUAAAGCUAUUGUUUGGAUGUGCAUGGUAUUGGUUGUUGGAAUCAAAGGGUGGGAUCCAAUUCCAAAUCAUGUUUGGAUGUACAAACUAUGGAAUUGGCUAUUUUGUUGAGUUUGGAUAGUAUACUCUUGGCCACAUGUAUGGAAAAGAAUUGUGUGUAUAUUAGAAUGUUUAUAUAUUAAUUGUCGCGGAAAACAAAAUAGAAAUAUUCUGAAAAAGCUUAUCACAAGGACAUAAUUAUGAAGAUUGCGGAAAAAGCAUAUAAAACAUGACAUCAAUAUUUCAGAUCAUGGAAAUUCUCUUACACAUAGCCAUUGACACAUAGCACAACUGGACAUUACAUAAGUAGCAAAAUACAUAAAUAGGACAGAUCAUAAUGAUUCUCUUACACAAAGGACAAUACAUAAGUAGCAAAAUAUCCAAAUAGUUCAGAUCAUGGAGAUUCUCUUGCACAUAAAUAGGAAAGUAUAUAGUAGUUCAGAUCAUGGAGAGCUCCAUCAUGAAAGAAACCAUCAAGGCAAGGUCAUGAGCCAUGCCUUCCUUAAGGUCAUGGGAAGCUCCAUGAGUGAUUCAACCAAGCGCUCACUAAUGGACAGCCUUCCGUAAGCUCUUAACAAAUCACAUUCUGCCAAAUCUGGUAUAGUUUGAAGUCCAGCAAGGAUUUCAGCUGAAGGAGUAACCUUUGGCAAAGUAAUUGGAUCGGUUGUCUUCAAAGCCUCUUGAAAUUCUGACUUCAUAUCUCCCAUCAUGCACAGGAUAGCAUCCCCAGUGCGUCGCCUCUUUUGGGGUACAUCCGGAGAUUCUUCGAGAACCUGUGUGUCUUGUUCUUCAACACACUGAGCUGCUGUCUUGGCACCUUCACCGGUCGCAUGGUCUUUUGAAUAGAUGGUGCUUGACAUAUUUAAACCACACAUCCUCAUUGUCGAUUGACAGCUUGUUGUUCUCCCAAUCCCAGCCAAAGACACUUUGAGCUGGUAUCUUGCUAAUGACCACAUAAUGCUUGUCAAAUGUAUUGCAUCUCGUUGUUAUGUUGUCCUUUGUGAUGUCCACCUGACAUGUCUCCUUUACAUGCCUAAUGCAAGCAUUGUACACAUGCGGCUUCCAACCAUUUUGAGCAUGAUCUCCAUUGUUGUGAUGCUCAACAAGGACGGCCAACAAUGUCGUGUCCAUGUCAGGAGUUCAUGUAAGGUAACCCCUACUACCUUUCUUUCCUUUUGCUUCAGCCAUGCGUCUAUAAUAAGUGAAAUAAAUAGAUGGGCAUAAAAGUAAGGACGUACAGAGCAGUAAAAUAAAGCAUAUAUAUUAAUUUGAUGAUGAUGCAUGUACAAAAUAUCACAAAAGGUGCCAUCACGAUCAGCUAUGCUAUCACAUAAAAGCCACCAUCAGGAAGGUACAACACAAAAAGGGGCACCAUCAGCUAGCUAUCUACUCCAUCACUAGCAAUCUACUCCAUCUCUAGUUCUGCAUGCCUCACAAGGUACUCAGCAUACAUGUCAUUAGCAAAUUGCUGCCUAAAGUUGGUCCAUUCAGUAGUGACUUGCACAGUUCUAAUGACCAUAGAAUCAUCUACAAGUUCAAUUGGCAUAGCUGCUAGUUCAGCAUCAACUUCCGGCAGCAAUAAAUUAUCCCUCAAGUGAUGCCUAUCCCUUGCAAAGUUGUGUAACACACAACAAGCAUUAAUAAUUCGGAUAUGCAAUAAUAUUAGUUCGUAUUCAGCACUUAUUAUUUAGAAUUAAUUUGCUUACUACCAUAUGGACAUUUUUUACCUGGUCGUCUAUGUCAAAAAAAGAUUGAGUACGUAGGAUGGCCCAUUUUUUCUUCCACAAGCCAAAAGUUCUCUCUACAACAUUUCUAGCACGAGAAUGACGCCAGUUAUACAACUCUUUGGCGGUUUGGGGCUGCUGUUGACUUGACACCCACUCUUUCAAGUGGUAUCGAGUGGAUCGGAAUGGAGAUAGAAAUCCAGGUCCAUUGGUGUAGCCAGCAUCAACUAAGUAGUAUUUUCCUAUUAUGAGGCACAUAAGUUAGCUAGCAAUAAAAUAUGAGAAAUAAAAUGCCAAGUGAAAGAGUCAUACCCUUAGGUACAACAAAUGCAUCUUGGCGAUUGAUUCUCAUAGAAUCGCGCAACACUCCCAAAUCAGAUGUUGAUCCCUCCCAACCAGGUGGAGCAUAGAGAAAUUUCAUGUUCCAAUCAACCACACCUAGCAUGUUAGUGGUGAUAGAUUGCUUUCAAUUCUUGUACCUCCCUUGGUCAGCAACAUCAACCAUAACAUCCACAUGACACCCGUCUAGUGCUCCAAGUGCAUUGCCAAACCAUUUCCAUUUGUAGUCAUUGGGAGGGGCGAUAGAAGGAUCAGGAAGCUUGAUGAACUCCUUAGUUAGAGAUAGGAUGGCUGAUAACAUCGUAGAGAAGUUGAAGAUCGAGUACGUCACAGAGGGGGGGGUGUGAAUGUGACCAGUUUUAAGUUUUCUUCAAAAUGAAGACUGAAAACUGAAGACAGUCACGGUGCUUCAACAACAAAGAUUUUACUUAGCAAUUUUAAAGUAGCAGCGGAAUGAAGAAAGAUGAACAAGUAACACAGUAGCAGUGAAGACAAGAAUAGUAAGAACAAUUAUACUUCAAUAGAAAGUAUGAGAUUGAGGAACGAUAUCACCAAAACACGAAAACACGGGGAUUUGUUUUCCGAAGUUCAGAUUGUUGGCACAAUUCUACGUCUCCGUUGAGGGGGCUGAGUCACACAAGACUCGCGGACACACAAGUCCACCCAAUCCUCCUAAGUUAAGACCUAAGUCUCGUCCAGUUACUCGUGGUAGAUCUUGAGGUGAUCUCCGGACCUUCACAGACUGGCUGAUGGCGAAUCGCAAGCUUCGAUUGCUCUUCAACACUGACUCCUAGCCAUCUAGGUGAUGCCAAUCACCAAGAGUAACAAGCUUCAAGUGCUCGGCUAGAGAGGGGAUCCCAUUCUUCACGCUCAGUUCAGCUCUAACGGUUUUCUCAGGUGUUCUUCAAAACAACUCUCUGGGGAUCACCACCAAACCCGUUCGAGGUGGGUCGUCUUAUAUAGCCUUGGCAACGGCCGAUCUAGCUGUUGUGACCCGUUGGAUAAAGUGAUCCCUGAGACUCCAACUCACACUUUAUCUCUUUGUUUCACAAUGGUUAGAUUGCGUGGUCUAAAGCGACAAAGAUUUUCAAACACAUUUGAAAUGAGAGUGAAGACUUCUCGCGGAAGUUUCACGGAAGCCUGAAAUGCUUCAUUCUUCACUCCGACGAAAAACACUCACACAGAAAAUGGUUUUCUCCUAAGCUAAACAUGAAGAAUAGGUUUCACCUGAACCAGCUCCACACUUCAAACCCCCCUUAAUAGUACGACAUUCCUAUACUCAAGUGAAGAAAACGCUACAGAAAGACUUAUGAAGAAAGUUACGCUUCACGUUCUUCUCCGUUCUUCACUGAGUUCUUCAUACUUCAAGCCCGUAACAUCCCAAAAUUUCAAACUUAUACAUGUGCAUUGCAUCCAUGAGCAUCAUGCCACAAUGGCAUAUUUGAAUCGGAAAAGGCUUUAAAAGUUUUUAUUUCAAUUUAAACCCUAGGGUUUUACACCCAUUUAAGCUUUGGAUUUUCAAACCAAUAAGGUUUAUUUAUAAAAGGGGUUUAUUGCAUAAAUGAGCUAUCCCAUAAUUUUUGGAUAAUUAUUUGGAGUUGAAAAAAAACUAUUUUAUUUAAAUAGUUAUAUAGCCCUAAAGGCAUUUAUAAGGCAAAUGUAUUUAUUUAUUUUUUUGAGGGGAAAUCUCUCCCAAAAGUUGAAUCAUGAUAAAACAUGAUUUUACAAAUUUUUUGGAAUUUAUUUGGACCAAUUUGGAGUUCAAAAUCAAAAGAUAUCACCUUUGACAAGCUCAAAGGCCACGGGAAACACUGGGUUGAAGAACACCAGCCCGUGCUGUGGUUCAUCCGGACAACACCUAGUCGGGCAACGGGCGAAACUCCUUUCGCCCUUGUCUACGGGGCAGAAGCGGUGGUGCCCCUCGGGCUCAAGCACGGAUCUCCCUGAGUACGCACGUACGGUGACACCAGCCAACAAGAGCAAAGGGUCGACGAUCUAAACUUCAUCGAUGAGCUUCGAUGCCGGGCUGCUGUGCGAGCCACGCACUACCAGCAGGGACUCCGUCGUUAUCACGACAGGCGAGUCCGCCCCCGGGGGCUCGAGAACGGAGACCUUGUCCUGCGCCCGGAUACAAGGAACGAAGGCUGGGAAAAAGUUGACUCCGAAAUGGGAGGGCCCCUUCCGGGUAGGGCAGGUGACUAGGCCGGGGGCUGUCUGACUGGAAACCGAAGACGGCUUGCCGGUGCCCAAUAGUUGGAAUACUGAGCACUUGCGCAAGUUCUACCCGUGAAGCGGCGGAGCCCGACCCUUAGGUGAUUCCGCCGAUGCAUACCUCUCGAACUAGUGUAGCCGGGCAACCCCCGUGUGUAAACCACUAGUUAUUGUGAAUAAAGAUAAGUGUUUCACCCCUGAGCUCUGAAUUUGCCUUGUUUAUUUGCGUGCUUCUCCCUCUUCUGUCUCCUGCUUUAAGUGCACAAAGGUGUCUUUCCAUACUUGGUCGUGAGCAGGGGCCGUUGGAGCCUCGAAAGCAUAAACCCGUUGCCGGACCGUUCCGGCACAGGACAUCCUUUUGCCGGGCCUCCCGCAACGUGCAUCACUGGACAUGCGGUUGCCGGGCUUUCCGCAACGCGCAUCACUGGACGUGCAGCUGCCGGGCACCCCGCAGCAUGCACCGCGCAGUCGCUGCGCCUGGGAAUUGACAUGCUCACAUCCAAGUCUGGCAUCGACCCCUUUGUGCUCGGGGGCUGGGAGGCAGGAGGGGUUUUCUCUGUGUUGCCUUGUGUAUUUUUGUAAAUUUCAAAAAAAAAUUGCAGCACCUCGGGCCUGGUAAGAAUCUAACCUGCAGGAAAGGGUGGAAAUUUGUGCACUGUGAUGCCCGUGGGCUGCCCACGGGUCCCACCAUGCACCGGUGCCUUGUGAUGCGGGAUGACCACAACGCAAGGGGUUCACCGAACUCCGAGGCUUCUGACUCGAGAGGGUGCCAUGUGUACCGCAGUCGCCUGGCAUGCGUGGUGGCGGAGACUGUACCACGUUCCGAGGGAGGGGUGCCACGGGUGCAGCGCAGGUCCGUCGCGCGCGGUGGCAAACCCCCUCCCGCGCCUAUAAAAGGCAUGCCCCAGCCAUAGAACGGCUCAGAGCGAAGCCGGGUCCGGGGCUGUUAAGGAGGGUGGUGCCAUGGAGGCGCGAUGGGGGUGCAUACCAUCGGCGCUUAGCGCCGACGGGUGCACUGCCAUCGCGCCCCUGCCGCAUCACCCCAUCGAGCCUGCCGCGCCCCCUCAGGCGGGUGGCUCCUGGGCGAGGGUCGCCGCGGAGGCACUGUGGUGGUGCAUCCCAUCAGCGUCCAGCGCUGACGGGGUGCAUUGCCGCAGUGCCCUUGCCGCGCCCCUCCAUAAGACACCUCCGUAAGGAGCAUGGGCUGCCGCGGAGGCUCUAUUGUAGUGCAUGCCAUCUGUGCCUUGUGCCGACGGGUGCACUAUCAUAGAGACCCGGCCGCAUUCCCCUUGAGAGAGCCUUUUUCGGGCGCGGGUCGUUGCGAGGACGCCGUGAUGGCGCCGGUGCCGGCGCCUGCCGCCCGCUCCGGCCCGUCACCGCGUCCCUGCCACGGCCCUCGAGCAGUUUUGCUCCCGGGCAACAAGGGCUGUCGCAUCCCUUGGGACGAGCUCCCCAGAAGAAACCAGGUCUCCCUAGUUGCGGGAGCUGUCGCCGGGAGGCUAUAACUACCUCGCCACCCGUGCCCGCGACUUGGUGGGGCGCAGCUGGCGGCGAGGACGUUAUAGCCGUCUUGCGGCUGCUCCCGGGGUGAAGUCCUCCUAAGCCAGGGUUCAUCCCUGAAGGCGAGGGUUGCCGCGUGAGCGUGGUGGGAGCAUCAUUGGCGGCGGAUGCCGCUGGCGGCGAUCCUGCCUCCGCGCUCCUGCCGCAUCCCUGAGGAACCGUUUCCCUUGAGCAGGUACCCGAGGAGGGUCCCUACCAAGGCAGUGCCCCAGCUGCACUUUACCGCCGAGCGUCAUGAGGCAUUGGACCGAACGGAAAAGCUAAGGGUCUGAACUUGAACGCUGAACUCGCUAAGAACUGAACAAAAUUGAGCUCUGUCUCGUUGGGUGUGGCCCCAGAUCCCGCACGUCGCCAGAGUGUUAAGGGAUGCUUGCGGGGGGAGUGCGCUCCCCGUGUGGCUUCGCGGGUUCGUCCCGGAGGGGCACGGCUUGAAGUAGUUACCCUGCAAGUAGAGUGGCUCCCCGCUACCGCUUGGCCCCAGGUCGACACCACGGGUCCGUUCCAGGUCCCUGGUCUGGUCAAGGGUGAGGCGUGCGCGAGUCCCCUGCAACACAAGGCGGAACACGCAAAGGCUAAAAGGGCCACCCCGCUAGACAGCGCCGGGAACAGUGAACAUGUCGAAAGACUUAAGUAACUAAGAAUUGGACGCUGCUUCGCCAAGUGUGGCCCCGGAACCUGCGCGUGGCCGGGGUGUGAGGAGGACGCUUGCGGGGGGGAGUGAGCUCCCCGUGUGGCUUCCGGGUCCGUCUCGGGAGGGCAUGGCUUGGAGUAGUUACCCCGCAAGUGGAGUGACUCGCCGACUACCGCUUGACCCCAGGUCGGCACUGCGGGUCCGUCCCGGGUCCCUGGUCCGGUCAAGGGUGAGGCGCGCGAGUCUCCGGCAACACAAGGCAGAACACACAAAGGCUAAAGAGGCCACCCCGCGAAGCAGCCCCGGGAACAAGGGACAAAAAUUGGGCGAAUUAAAAGCUUGAUUGACCGAGUGCUGAAUGAUUACAUGGACUAAUCAAGAGAUGAUUGUUCAAACGGCGUUAAGCACCAUACUUGCAGGAAAGCAUACUAGAGAAGAUACAUUGGGAGCAACGAGCACGGCUGCGGGCUGUGGCAACUAGUUGUCGCCGUCUUCGGCCGGGGGGUCAGCAGGGAGAUCAGGCUCCGGCUUCAUCUGCAUUCGCUCGACGACCUCGUCGAUGAACUCGGGCACUGCUUGGGUGUGCGUGGGCUCGUCCUCGCUGUCAGACCAAGCGUCCAGCAGGGACUCGAAGGGAAACUCCGGGUCCCGGAGAUGAAUCCGCGGGAGGAUUGUCCCGACAACCUCCCGGGUACAGUUGGCGACUUCGUUGGUGCCGUACUUGGCGAUCCAGACGUCGAGCGCCCCAAGCUUCCCCACAAGGUCAGAGAAGAAGGGAAUCAGCGUCGUGACGUCUGUCCCGUCCACCUCCGCCGCCUGCAGCUCGAACUUGGGCAGCAGAUCGCGCAGCGACUGGGCGAUCUUCGCCAGCUUCUCCGUCUCGAUCUGCCGCUGCCCGAUCAACGUGCCGUGAUGGAGUCGAGCCUCGUGCGCGGCCUUCUUGGCCUUGCGGACGUUGCCUUCCAUCGUCGCAAGCUCCACGGUCUUCACCGCGAUCUCGUUGUCGGCCUUGGCGAGCUCCUCCCGGACGGCAGCUAGCUCGGUCUCAAGCCUAACCGCUCUGUCCUUGGCAGAGUUGAGCUCGGCCUCGUGCCGAGCCGCCGCCACGCCGCGUCCUCGGUGGCCUUGACCUGCACCUUCAGCAUGACGCGGAGGCCUUAGAUUUCGCCACGGUAGUUGGCGAUCAGGACGCUCUUCUCGUCCAGCCGGGCCUGGGCCGCCGCGACCACCUCGGCGUGUUCCUUCCUGGUCGCCUCCAGGGUGGCCGACAUCGAGUCGAGCUUCCCUUGAAGCUCCGCGCGCUGGGCCUCCAGUUGCCGCUGGAGCUCAGCCUCCGGGACCACCAGCUCUCGGGCGUCCUCCAGGGCUUGCCGGGCCAGCCACGCCUCUUCUUCGGCAAGGCUUGUCUCCUCGCGCAGCCGGGACAGUUCGCGCCGCUCUCUCUCCACGGCCUCCCGCACCUCGCCGAGCUGAUUCUUGGCGGCGGUGUGGUGCUCCCUCACCUCCUUAAAGGAGGUGACACCUCCUUGAAGGAGGUGACGAAGGCCAAUUGUUGGUCCCUGACGGCGUCCAGGAACCGGUGCCCCUGCUCAAAGAUGCUCGGAUCCCAAGUAAGGGGUUCCAAGCGACCCCGGCAAGGGUGCCGAGGUCAGUACCGUGGAGAGCCGCCGAGGACGAUGAAGCCCCUGCUGCCGAUGCGGGGCUGUGCGCAGGGUCGCCAGCCUGCUCCCGAGGGUCUUGAUGUCCUUCCCCGGCAACUUCCCCUGCGCCUGCGCCCAGGGACCCCGGGGUUGGGGAGGCUUCCCUGCUCCCGGCGGGGGCCGUCCCCUGCUGGGCGGCAGGAGAGCCUGCGCCGGCUGCGCCCGCAGCUGCGGGCGCGUCACCGGGCACAGCCACGGCGGCGGUGGUGCCCACCGCUGCCGCUGUGUCCGCCGCAGCGGGACUGGGCGUGAGAGCCGGUUCCGGCUCCACCUCCGCCCCCACGGCCUCGACGACCGGGUCAAAAUUGAUCACGGCCGCGGCCGUUCUGGGUAUGGGCACACUUGUGCCUGCGACGAUGAGAAGCAUAAGGAUCAGCGAGUGAUGGAGCUAUCAAAGACAGACAAGAGUGACCAGGGUGGCUACCUUGCGCGGCCGCCGGGCUUGCCGGGGAAACCCCCCUGCCCCGCUUGUAUCGGCGGGAGUGCCUGAGAGGCCUGCCACGGGCGAGCUGCCUCUCCCUGCAGAAAAAAGGUAUGGUCAUGAGUUUGGCUAACAAAAAUUGCAAUUGCAGAGGAGUGACGAAGACAUACCAGCUGCCGGUCCUAGCUCCGUGGGGGCUGGGUCGCCAAGGGGCGCGCCCGUGUCGCUGCUGACACCUGCGACGAUGGGAUCGGCGGCGCCACUGGCAUCGGCGCGCGUCCUCUUGCUGGGCAUCCAGGGCGGGGAAUCGCUCCUCGCCCUCUUGCUGGCACCCGCCGGCGAGGAGGACUUCAGGGGGUUACGCUGGAGCGCGAAGCCCCGGAAGACCCCCCGAGCAGGUGGCGCUGUGGGCGCCCGCGGAGUCGUCGUAACCCGGAGAGCUCCGGGCAUCGACGGUGAGGCCACCGCAACGCCGGAAGCCACACUCGCGGAGGCCCCCGCUGCCGGAGCGAAGGCCGUUGCCGGGGCACCGGCAACCCCUGCGGGCACUGGCGCUGUCGGAGUCCCGGCGGGCGCCCUAGGACCGGUUGCUGCCACGGUAUUGGCGGCUCCCGUUGAGGCGGGAGCCGCCGCCGAGACACCCGCGGCCCCUGUUGCCGCGGAUGCCGUCGAGGUGCCGACGAGCGCCCCUGCAGCGGCCGCCACUGCAAGCUUGGUGACCGCUGUUGGGGCAGACGUCGUCAUCGAGGAGAUGGCUGCAGCCGCGGCAAACACCCUCGAUCUCCUCAAGAUCAGGGGCACGCUGUCGCUGCUUUCGUCGUCGUCCUCCACGGCGACGACCUCCGGGGAAGCCGCCGCCUGGCCCGCCUCGUCGUCCAGCGACUAGAGGGAGGGCCAGCUGGGCUCGGACCUGUCCACGCUCUCCUCGAGCACUUGUUUCUCACGGGGUGCUUGAGGGGGAGCGUGCUGGACCCGGGUGGGGGUGUCGUCCAUUAACCCCCACUCGUUGCAGGGCGGGAAGGCGCCGACAACGUCGCUAAGCACCUGGACGUCGGCAUGGAGGGAGGGAACCCCCGGCGGGAACUCCGUUGAUUGGAAGAUCUCGCCGGAGAUCCCCCUCACCCAUGUCCUAAGGGUCUCCAAGUCCACGCCGUCCUGCUGGAGGCGUGUCCUGUCCUUGGGACCCGUGUACAUCCACGCGGGCCGGGAGCGUAGCUGCAGCGGGGCUAUGCGCCGAUGGACGAAGGUGGGAGCCACAUCCACGUCGGUGAGCCCCGCUAGCCGCAGCGCCUUGAUCUUCUCCCCGAUGGGGGAAAGGUCGGCGCCGUGGUGGUACCUUUCCUGCCAACCGUUCUGGAGUACCGGCAACUCCGUCGGUGGCUGGAUGAACUCCUGGGGAUCCUCCACUCGGACCCAGCACCAGUCGCUCCGCCACUCUUUCUCAAUCUUCUUCCCCGACCGGACGAUGAACUCGAACUUCAUCUAGUCGCGGGCGCGGAAGACCACCCCCGACGACAUCGCCUUCACGUUGUCGAUGCAUGGAUAGAAGUAGUGGCAGAAGAGCCCCACCGACAGCAUCACCCCCACGAACGCCUCACAAAGGAACUGGAAGGUGGCGAGGAGGAACAGCGAGGUGGGGUGAAGCUACGCCACCUGCAGCUGGUAGGACUCCAUCAGCGCGUGGAGGAAUAGAGAGAAGGGCGGCACCAUGCCGCAGAGGAGGAAGCGCGUGAACCCCCGGAAGUCGUUAUCCUGGUGCUCGGCGCCCGCCGGGAAGAUCUGCGUCUCCCCGUGCUCGUUGAAACGGGAAGCAACGGCAUGCCGGAGCUUCCCCAGCGCCUCGCCAUUGUAGCCAGGGCGGAAGAAGGUGACUGUGCCACGCAUCUCCCGCCUCUUCUGGUCCUUGGCAGCGGCUGUUGGGUUCGUUGCAUAGGAAACAAAAAUUUUCCUACGAGAAGUGCGGAAGAAACCCAAGAAUAUAUAUACUAGAUGUAUGUAACGAGAGGGAUCAUGAACACCAUACCCUCGUAGACCGCUAAGCGUUACGAUCACGAGAUCGUUGUUGGUGUAGUGAAACUUUCAAUGAGAUCAAUCUCAGUGCCGAACGGACAGCACCUCCUUGGUAUCCACACGUUCAGCUUCACGUUGUCUCCUCCUUCCUCGAUCCAGCAAGCGAGAGGGAGAGGUAGACGAGAUCCCGGCAGCACGACGGCGUGGUGACUAUGGUGAAUAUUCUCACGGGCAGGGCUACGCCGUGCGCGUGAGAAGAGGAGGAGAGGAGGGCUCAGGGGAGAGAGAUCCAACUGAAAGCUUGGGGUGUCUCUCUCCCUUGCCCCCCCUUCUAUUUAUAUAGGGGUAGAGGAGGCGUGGCCGGCCAGGACUAUCCCGUGGCCAGGACUCUCCGGCGGCCAGGACUCUCAUGCGGCCAGGACUCUCCCGCGGCCAGGACUCUCCUCCUGGCCGCAUGGGCCCCCUGUGGGCUAGCCCCUCGGCCCAUUAAGGCCAGGGUGCUCCCUCACAGGCCCAUUUAGCCCAGGGAUAGGUGGGCCUCAAGGUGGAACCCUCCGGAUCCCUCCGGAACCUUCUAGAAGCUUCCCGGUCAAAACCGGGAAAUAUUCCAAACUUUCCAGAACCCUGAAAACAACUUUCCAUAUAUAAAUCUUUAUCUCCGGAACAUUCCGGAGCUCCUCGUUGCGUCUAGGAUCCCAUCCAAGACUCCGAAUCAUAAUUCGAUAUCAUCAUCAUUUAUCUCAUCUAACCCAAGCAACAUGAAACGUUAAGUGUGUGACCCUACGGGUUCGAGAACAUGUGGACAUGAUCAAAUAUCAAUAACCAAUAGCGGGACCUGGAUGUUCAUAAUAGUUCCCACAUAUUCCACGAAGAUCUCAUCGGUUGAACCACUAUGUCGAGGAUUCAAUUAAUCCAGUAUCCAAUUCUCUUUGUCUCCCGAUAUAUUACUUGCCCGAGAUUUGAUCGUCAGUAUCGCCAUACCUAGUUUAAUCUCGUUACCGGCAAGUUCUCUUUACUCGUUCCGUAAUAUAAUACCCCCGCAACUAAACACAUUAGUUGCAUGCUUGCAAGCUCAUUAGGAUGUUAUAUUACCGAGAGGGCCCAAAGAUAUCUCUCCGUCACAAGGAGUGACAAAUCCCAGUCUUGAUCGAUACAACCCAACAAGCACCUUCUGGGAUACCUGAAAAACACCUUUAUGAUCACCCAGUUACGAGAUGACGGUUGAUGCCCACAAAGUAUUCUUCCGGUACUAGGGAGUGGCAUGAUCUCAUGGUCUAAAGAAAUAAUACUUGACAUAAUAAAACAUAAGCAACUUAAACUUAAGUGACACGAUCAAAAGCUAUGUUUAGGUUUGGGUCUGUCCAUCACAUCAUUCUCCUAAUGAUAUGACCUCGUUAUUAAAUGACAACACAUGUCUAUGGUUAGGAAACCUUAACCAUCUUUAAUCAACGAGCUAAUCUAGUAGAGGCGUAUUAGGGACACGGUAUUUGUUUAUUUAUCCACACAUGUAUUUGAGUUUCCAAUCAAUACAAUUAUAGCAUGGGCAAUAAACAUUUAUCAAGAACAAUGAAAUAUGAUAAUAACAAAUUUAUUAUUGCCUCUAGGGCAUAUUUCCAACAGUCUCCCACUUGCACUAGAGUCAAUAAUCUAUUUUACAUUGUAAUAAAUCUAACACCCAUGGAGUCUUGGUGUUGAUCAUGUUUUGCUCGUGGAAGAGGUUUAGUCAACGGGUCUGCGACAUUCAGAUCCGUAUGUACUUUGCAAAUCUUUAUGUCACCAUCCUUGACAUAUUCACGAAUAGUGUGAAACCGGCGUUUAAUAUGCUUGGAAUUCUUGUGAGACCUCGGCUCCUUGGCGUUGGCUAUGGCACCAGUGUUGUCACAAUAGAUGUCCAUGGGAUCCAACGCACUCGGAACCACACCAAGUUCAGAUAUGAACUCCUUCAUCCAAACUCCUUCCUGUGCCGCUUCUGAAGCAGCCACAUAUUCCGCUUCAGUUGUUGAUGCUGCCACAACGCUCUGCUUGGAACUCCUCCAGCUAACUGCACCACCAUUCAAAAUAAAUACGUAUCCGGAUUGAGACUUAGAGUCAUCCGGAUCAGUGUCAAAACUAGCAUCGACGUAACCCUUUACGACGAGCUGUUCGUCACCUCCAUAAACGAGAAACAUUUCUUUAGUCCUUUUUAGGUACUUAAGGAUAUUCUUAACUGCUGUCCAGUGUUCCACUCCUGGAUCACUUUGGUACCUGCUAGUCAAACUAACAGCAUGACACACGUCUGGUCUAGUACACAGCAUGGCAUACAUAAUAGAGCCUAUGGCUGAGGCAUAGGGGAUACUAUUCAUCUUUUCUCUAUCUUCUGCCGAAGCUGAACACUGAGUCUUACUCAAUAUCUUACCUUGCAACAUGGGCAAGAACCCUUUCUUUGCUUGAUCCAUUUUGAACCUUUUCAAAACUUUGUCAAGGUAUGUACUUUGUGUAAGUCCUAUCAGCCGUCUUGAUCUAUCUCUAUAAAUCUUGAUGCCUAAUAUGUAAGCUGCUUCACCAAGGUCUUUUAUUGAAAAACUUUUAUUCAAAUAGCCUUUAACACUUUUAAGAAGUUCUAUAUCAUUCCCAAUCAGCAAUAUGUCAUCCACAUACAGUAUUAGAAAUGCUACAGAGCUCCCACUCACUUUCUUGUAAAUACAAGCUUCUCCGUGAGUUUGGACAAAUCCAAACCCUUUGAUCACCUUAUCAAAACGAAGAUUCCAACUCCGAGAUGCUUGCUUCAGCCCAUAAAUGGAACGCUGAAGUUUGCAUACCUUAUUAGCAUCCUUAGGAUCGACAAAACCUUUGGGCUGAACCAUGUAUAACUCUUCCUCAAUGUGACCAUUAAGGAACGCGGUUUUGACAUCCAUCUGCCAGAUUUCGUAAUCGAAAAAUGCAGAAAUUGCUAACAUAAUCCGAACAGACUUUAGCAUCGCUACGGGUGAGAAAGUCUCAUCGUAGUCAACUCCUUGAAUUUGUCGAAAACCUUUUGCGACAAGUCGAGCUUUAUAGACGAUAACAUUUCCAUCAGCAUCUGUUUUCUUCUUGAAAAUCCAUUUGUUCUCAACGGCCUUUCGGUCAUUCGGUAAGUCUACCAAAGUCCAUACUUGGUUUUCAUACAUGGAUCCCAUUUCGGAUUUCAUGGCUUCUAACCAUUUUUCGGAGUCUGGGCUCAUCAUCGCUUCCUCAUAAUUCGCAGGUUCAUCGUUGUCCAACAACAUGACAUUCAUGACACGAACAUUGUACCACUCAGGAGUAUUACGUGUUCUCGUCGACCUGCGAAGUUCAGUAGUUGUCUCAUUCAAAACUUCAUGAUCAUUAUCAUUAGCUUCCUCUCUAGCUGAUGCAGGAUGCACGGGAACAGUUUCUGGUGCUGCGCUACACUCAAAUUCGAGAGAAGGUUCAAUAACCUCAUCGAGCUCUACCUUCCUCCCACUCACUUCUUUCGAGAGAAACUCCUUCUCUAGAAAGGACCCGUUCUUAGUGACAAACACUUUUCCUUCGGAUCUGUGAUAGAAGGUGUACCCAAUUGUUUCUUUAGGGUAUCCUAUGAAGACGCAUUUUUCCGACUUGGGUUCGAGCUUAUCAGGUUGUAGCCUUUUUACAUAAGCUUCGCAUCCCCAAACUUUAAGAAAGGACAGCUUAGGUUUCUUGCCAAACCAUAAUUCAUACGGUGUCGUUUCAACGGAUUUAGAUGGUGCCCUAUUUAAAGUGAAUGCGGCUGUCUCUAAUGCAUAACCCCAAAACGACAGUGGCAAAUCAGUAAGAGACAUCAUAGACCAUACCAUAUCCAAUAAAGUACGAUUACGACGUUCGGACACACCAUUGCGUUGUGGUGUUCCAGGCGGCGUAAGUUGUGAAACAAUUCCACAUUGUCUUAAAUGCGUGCCAAACUCGUAACUCAAAUAUUCACCUCCACGAUCCGAUCGUAGAAAUUUAAUUUUCUUGUUACGAUGAUUCUCCACUUCAUUCUGAAAUUCCUUGAAUUUUUCAAAUGUCUCAGACUUGUUUUUCAUUAAGUAAAUAUACCCAUAUCUACUCAAGUCAUCUGUGAAGGUUAGGAAGUAACGAUAUCCACCGCACGUUGUAACACUCAUUGGUCCGCACACAUCAGUAUGUAUGAUCUCCAACAAGUCACUGGCCCGUUCCAUUAUGCCUGAAAACGGGGUUCUAGUCAUCUUACCCAUGAGGCAUGGUUCACAUGUAUCAAAUGAUUCAAAAUCAAGUGAUUCAAGUAGUCCAUCAGAAUGGAGUUUCUUCAUGCGUUUUAUACCAAUAUGACCUAGACGGCAGUGCCACAAAUAUGUUGAACUAUCAUUAUCCACUUUGCACCUUUUGGCAUUAACAUUAUGAAUAUGUGUGUCACUACUAUCGAGACUUAAAAGAAAUAAACCAUUCACAAGUGGUGCAUGACCAUAAAAGAUAUUACUCAUAUAAAUCGAACAACCAUUAUUCUCUGAUUUAAAUGAAUAACCAUCUUGCAUUAAACAAGAUCCUGAUAUAAUGUUCAUGCUCAACGCAGGCACCAAAUAACAAUUACUAAGGUUUAAAACUAAUCCCGAAGAUAAAUGUAGAGGGAGCGUGCCGACGGCGAUCACAUCAACUUUUGAUCCAUUCCCGACGCGCAUAGUCACCUCAUCUCUUGCUAGUCUUCGUUUAUUCUGUAGCUCCUGUUUCGAGUUACAAAUGUGAGCAACUGAACCAGUAUCAAAUACCCAGGUGCUACUACGAGUACUAGUAAGGUACACAUCAAUAACAUGUAUAUCAAAUAUACCUUUGACGUUGCCAGCCUUCUUAUCUGCCAAGUACUUGGGGCAGUUACGUUUCCAGUGGCCAGUCCCCUUGCAGUAGAAGCACUCAGUAUCCGGCUUAGGUCCAGAUUUGGGCUUCUUCGCGGGAGUGGCAACAGUUUUGCCACCCUUCUUGAAAUUUCCCUUCUUACCCUUUGCCUUCUUGAAACUGGUGGUCUUAUUGACCAUCAACACUUGAUGCUCCUUUUUGAUUUCCACCUCCGCGGUUUUUAACAUCGCGAGGAGCUGAGGAAGUGUCCUAUCCAUCCCUUGCAUAUUGUAGUUCACCACAAAACUUUUAUAGCUAGGUGGUAGUGACUGAAGAACCCGGUCAAUGCCUAAUUCAUUAGGAAUCUCAAUUCCCAGUUGUCUCAGGCGGUCGGCGUACCCAGACAUUCUGAGCACGUGCUCGCUAACGGAGCUGUUCUCCUCCAUCUUGCAGUUAAAGAACCUUUCGGAGGCAUCAUACCUCUCCGCACGGGCUUGGGUCUGAAAUAAAGUAUUCAGUUCCCCAAUCAUAGCAUAUGCCGAGUGGUGCUCAAAACGCUUUUGGAGCUCAGGUUCCAUACCAAGCAAGAGGCCGCACCUAACUACAUUGUGGUCCUCAGAUUGAGUCAGCCAAACGUUCCUAACGUCAGCAGACUCAGUUGCUGCGGGUUCUGCACCAAGCGCUGCAUCAAAAACAUAAGCCUUUUUGGCAGCUUCGAGGAUAAUCCUCACAUUCCGGAACCAGUCCGUAAAGUUGCUUCCAUUGGACUUCAGUUUAUCUUUCUCUAGGAGAGUAUUCAUAUUGAACGUAGUACGAGCCAUUGAUCUACAGCAUAUUUGCAAAGGCAAUUAGACUAAGUUCAUGAUAAUAAGUUCAAGCUAAUCAAAUUACUAAUGAACUCCCACUAAAAUCAACAUCCCUCGGGUUGUUUAGUGACACAUGAUCCAAAUCCACUACACCAAGUCCGAUCAUCACGUGAGAUGGAGUAGCUUCAAUGGUAAACAUCAGCAUGUUGAUCACAUCAUUCAUAUGACUCAUGUUUAACCUUUCGGUUCCUUGUGUUCCAAGGCCAUGUCUGUACAUGCUAGGCUCGUCAAGUUAACCAAAGUAUUCCUGCAUGUGUAAAACUGGCUUACACCCGUUGUAUGCGAACGUAGAGUUUAUAACACCCGAUCAUCACGUGGUGCUUCAAAACGACGAACUUUUGCAACGGUGCAUACUAAGGGAGAACACAUUAUUAUCUUGAUAUUAACAAUGAGGGAUCAUCUUAUAAUGCUACCGUCAACUAAGCAAAAUAAGAUGCAUAAAAGGGAUAAACAUCACAUGCAUAAAUAAUGUGACAUGAUAUGGCCUUCUCUUCGUGUGCCUUUGAUCUCCAUCUCCAAAGCACGGGCAUGAUCUCCAUCAUCACCAGCAUGGCGCCUAGGUCCUCGGGCGUCAUGUAUAGUUGCCUCCACCAACUAUUGCUACUACGACUAUUGCUACUACUAGCGAUAAAGUAAAGCAAUUACAUGGCGAUUAAAUCAUUGACAUGAAGGUCAUACAAUAAUUAAUGAGACAACCAUACGGCUCCUGCCGGUUGCCAAACUCAUCGACAUGCAAGUCGUGAAAUAUUACAAAACAUGAUCAUCUCAUACAUCAAAUAUAUUAUAUCAUAUCUUGGCCAUACCACAUCACAUGCCCCUGCAAAAACACGUUAGACGCUUCUACUUUGUUGUUGCAUGUUUUAUGUGGCUUUAGGGGCUGCACUAAAAGAACCGUUCUUACUUACGCAAAAGCCACAACGGUGAUAUACAAAUUGCUUAUUAACCAUAUAGGCCUCCCAUUGCAAAUCAGAUUUCAACUAUAGUGGGAGAGACAGACACCCGCCAGCCGCCUUAUGCAAUACAAGUUGCAUGUUAAUUGCGGAACCGGUCUCUUGUGCGAAGACAAGUAAGGUUGGUCCGAGCCACUUCAUCCCACUAUCCCGCAAAAUCCGAUAGUGCACAAAGGAGGUAGCAAUAUGAACAUCAACGCCCACAACUAAAUUGUGUUCUACUCGUACAAAACAUCUACGCAUAGAUCUAGCUCUGAUACCACUGUUGGGUUCGUUGCAUAGGAAACAAAAAUUUUCCUACGAGAAGUGCGGAAGAAACCCAAGAAUAUAUAUACUAGAUGUAUGUAACGAGAGGGAUCAUGAACACCAUACCCUCGUAGACCGCUAAGCGUUACGAUCACGAGAUCGUUGUUGGUGUAGUGAAACUUUCAAUGAGAUCAAUCUCAGUGCCGAACGGACAGCACCUCCUUGGUAUCCACACGUUCAGCUUCACGUUGUCUCCUCCUUCCUCGAUCCAGCAAGCGAGAGGGAGAGGUAGACGAGAUCCCGGCAGCACGACGGCGUGGUGACUAUGGUGAAUAUUCUCACGGGCAGGGCUACGCCGUGCGCGUGAGAAGAGGAGGAGAGGAGGGCUCAGGGGAGAGAGAUCCAACUGAAAGCUUGGGGUGUCUCUCUCCCUUGCCCCCCCUUCUAUUUAUAUAGGGGUAGAGGAGGCGUGGCCGGCCAGGACUAUCCCGUGGCCAGGACUCUCCGGCGGCCAGGACUCUCAUGCGGCCAGGACUCUCCCGCGGCCAGGACUCUCCUCCUGGCCGCAUGGGCCCCCUGUGGGCUAGCCCCUCGGCCCAUUAAGGCCAGGGUGCUCCCUCACAGGCCCAUUUAGCCCAGGGAUAGGUGGGCCUCAAGGUGGAACCCUCCGGAUCCCUCCGGAACCUUCUAGAAGCUUCCCGGUCAAAACCGGGAAAUAUUCCAAACUUUCCAGAACCCUGAAAACAACUUUCCAUAUAUAAAUCUUUAUCUCCGGAACAUUCCGGAGCUCCUCGUUGCGUCUAGGAUCCCAUCCAAGACUCCGAAUCAUAAUUCGAUAUCAUCAUCAUUUAUCUCAUCUAACCCAAGCAACAUGAAACGUUAAGUGUGUGACCCUACGGGUUCGAGAACAUGUGGACAUGAUCAAAUAUCAAUAACCAAUAGCGGGACCUGGAUGUUCAUAAUAGUUCCCACAUAUUCCACGAAGAUCUCAUCGGUUGAACCACUAUGUCGAGGAUUCAAUUAAUCCAGUAUCCAAUUCUCUUUGUCUCGCGAUAUAUUACUUGCCCGAGAUUUGAUCGUCAGUAUCGCCAUACCUAGUUUAAUCUCGUUACCGGCAAGUUCUCUUUACUCGUUCCGUAAUAUAAUACCCCCGCAACUAAACACAUUAGUUGCAUGCUUGCAAGCUCAUUAGGAUGUUAUAUUACCGAGAGGGCCCAAAGAUAUCUCUCCGUCACAAGGAGUGACAAAUCCCAGUCUUGAUCGAUACAACCCAACAAGCACCUUCUGGGAUACCUGAAAAACACCUUUAUGAUCACCCAGUUACGAGAUGACGGUUGAUGCCCACAAAGUAUUCUUCCGGUACUAGGGAGUGGCAUGAUCUCAUGGUCUAAAGAAAUAAUACUUGACAUAAUAAAACAUAAGCAACUUAAACUUAAGUGACACGAUCAAAAGCUAUGUUUAGGUUUGGGUCUGUCCAUCACAUCAUUCUCCUAAUGAUAUGACCUCGUUAUUAAAUGACAACACAUGUCUAUGGUUAGGAAACCUUAACCAUCUUUAAUCAACGAGCUAAUCUAGUAGAGGCGUAUUAGGGACACGGUAUUUGUUUAUUUAUCCACACAUGUAUUUGAGUUUCCAAUCAAUACAAUUAUAGCAUGGGCAAUAAACAUUUAUCAAGAACAAUGAAAUAUGAUAAUAACAAAUUUAUUAUUGCCUCUAGGGCAUAUUUCCAACAGCGGCCUCCUUGAUCGCCGCCUCGGUCUUGCUCGUUGCAGCCCUCUUCGAGACUUGGACCUCCUUCCCCUUUCUGGUGGUGGGGGGCUCCAUGGAAAGCGAGGGCGGAAGCUAGCAGGAGCGCAGGGAUGCGAGAUGUGAAAGGGGAUGGAAGUGAAGGCAAGGGGGGCAGAGUGUUGUUCCCCUUUUGGCAACAGUAAUGACUUUAUAACGCCGGCCGUUUGGUAACGGCCGGUUCCGUACCCUACGGGUGCGCGGGGAUAACUCCUAAUCAUCAGGAGUAAUGUGCGGAGUGGCCUUAACUUCCCUAUUUAGGGGGGGAGUUAGGGCGGAAAUCACGCGUCCACUACUCCGUUUGUAACGGCUCCGUACACGGGGCGGCGAAGGGACGCGGGCCCGUGACUGAUCGGGGCCCACGCGCCGGUUGAGGGCGUAGCCCGGCAACCGACCAGGGGGAAGACUCUUCCGGGAACAGGUGAUGCCGGCCCACGCCCGGGGGCUACUGUCGCACCAGUGGCACCAUUCUCGAGUUCCCGGGAAGGCUUCAUCCUGGGCAACGUCUAUGAGCAGCCCGGCAAGCUACCAGCCCGGAAGGGGCUAGCGGGGCUUCUAGGAACAUUCCCGCCUGGGCACCUCCCGGGAAGCUGCUUCCUGGGGGAGGUUCCCGGGUGCGUUGGGCCCGGGUGCUUCCCGGAGUCGACUUGCCGGGACGAGGGGUUCCCGGGCGCAUGCCCCCGCCUCAGGCGCGGGGCCCAGUGGCCAGAUUUACAGCGCCAUGAGGACGCGUGGCGCGCGUGGGAUGCACGGUCCCACCAGGGCAAGGAGUAAGGCGCACGGCUCAGUAAAUGAGCCGACCGACGGGUUGUUACCCGUCCGAUCAAAGGAACAGUGGCUGUCCAAUCCUACUCUAGGGGUUUUAGACCCCUAGCGGCAGAGGUGGCGUCCAUGCAUGCCACCAGCUCACCGGGGGGAGUUGUAUGCCUCCCCGCCCGACACUUGUAGCCCAUGCACCACGGCACCUGUGGCAUCCCCUUGAGUAUAAAAGGAGGACCCAUGCCAACGGUCAAGAGGUUCCGCAUGUGUUGGUCUGGUUCCGAGUAGGGAAAAAAGGUUAGGCAGAAGAUUAGUUGGCUCCAGUGGGCAGCUGGGCGACCAGCUCAUAGUCGGCUUCCUGCACGAGCAAAGGGUAGUAAGAGGUACCUAGCCAGAGGGAGAAAGCCCGGGAACUUGCCCGACAACUUGUAAACGCUCGAUCCACAAUCAAUAUCAGCUCAGACAAGCAGGACGUAGAGUUUUACACCUUCGGGUGGCCCGAACCUGGGUAAAAAACGUGCGUGUGCUUGUUCUUGGAUUAGCACGCACUCUCUAGUACUUCCCUUCGCCGGCCCCGUAGGGCCUCAUCGGCCGUGCCAGUGAUCAUCGGGGCUCUGCCCCGACGCCCCUACCGAACCUAAAAGGGGGCCGUGACCGCACACCCCCGGUGUCGGAGCACCGUGCGACGACACAAUUCAUACAUCCAAACAUAGUCUUAAUGAACAGAUUUAGACUACUAGAACUAAAUUGAACUGCGACACCAAAUUCAAAGCCUGUAUGCAUUUCUUUGACUAAUUUGCAAAGCUUUUGCCUCAUCAAAAAACAAAAAAGGACAGGACUAGAGAGUGGCCGUUGGCUGGUUAAGCCUAGCCAGCCAAUGACUGAUACAGAAAGUAAAAAAUCACACGGUAUAGCUACAAAAGGAAACAAUCCUGACAAGACCAACGCGCGCGAGAAAAGUUCCUCUAUCUUUACUUCAGCAUGUCUUACACGUGGUGUUACAUGCAUUUAAUUUCCUUAAUUUUUUUCAAAACGCCAUAACUUUCAAACCACACGCCGAAAUGACGAACUGUUUUCACCGUUGGCUUUACCGCAACGAGAUCUUCAAAACUAGAUGCAACUUGGGUAUAUUUUGACCAAUAUUUUACAAAAAGCAACUUUUGCGAGAGACUGUGCAACUUUAGCACUCAUAUUAGCAACUUUAACUUUCAUAGUAUCAACUUUGACUUACAUAUCAGUAGCAGUUUUUGCUCACUCUAACAAUUUCGAUUUCUAUACUGACAACUUUGACUAAAAUACUAGCGACUUUGGCUUCCACCCGAUGACAGUUUUUGCUCCACUCUAGCAAGUUUACUCCGUCAUAAACAACUUCGGUAUGCCUCGGCUGUAACUUUUGCGAUGUGUUGGGAACUUUGUCUUCGGUGCCAUCAAGUUUUACUCCUGUAGUAGCAACUAUUGCACCCAUACUAGCAACUUCAAUUCUCAUACUAGCAACUAUUACUCGCAUAUUAGCAACUUUGACUCAAACACUUGCAAUCACUACUCCCGUUAUGGCAACUUUAGCCCACUACCAUUUGCAAUUUUUUGCUCUUCUCUAGAAACUUUCGCACCAUCGCAGACAUCUUUGGUGUGGCAGAUCAAACUUCCGCUAGCGUGUGACAAACUUCUUCUAACUUUCACUCAUACUAGCAACUUUAAAUCAUAUAUCGACAACUUUCACUCUCAUACUAGCAACUUUAAAUCAUAUAUCGACAACUUUCACUCUCAUACUAGCAAAUUUGAUUUUUGUAUUAAAUAGCAACUAGCUUUCACUCUCACGCUAGCAACUUUGGCUGCUAUAUCAGCAACUUUCACUCUCAUACUAGCAAUUGUACUCUUAUACUGACAACUUUGAUUCUAAUACUAACAAUUUUGACUUGGAUACUAGCAACUUUAACUCCCAAACAACUCUUACUCCCAUCUGAUAGCAACAUUUUGCUCCACUGCAGCAACUUACAAUCCAUCACAAACAAUUUUGGUGUGCCCGGUGACAACUUUGCUAUUGUUUUGCGAACUUUGUCUUCUAUGCCGAUAAAUUUGGCUCCCAUCCGGUAGCAAUUUUGAUACACUUUGGCAACUUUAACUCCAUCACGAACUACGGUUUUUUGUGCCCGGUGGGCGGUGGCAACUUUCGCUAAUGUUUGGCAACUUCGUCUUUCGUGCUAGCAACUUUGGCUCUCAUACCGACAACUUUGUUAACACAUGAGCCAACGGUUGUAAUAGAGUAGCGAAAUUUGCUAAUAGAGGAGCCAAAGUUGCCAACACAUGAGAUAAACUUGUUACGAGAAGAGUAGUGGAAAUUGUCCAUCAAAGUAUGUGGCUAACAGAGAAGUCAAUAUUGCCGACUAAAUAUUAAAGUUGUCAGUAGAGCAGCCAAAAUUGCAGCACAUGAGCCAAAAUUGUCGGGAUGUAAAUUGAAACUGUGAAUACAUGAGCGAAAGUUGCUAACCGAGGAGUCAUAAUUGUUUACAAUAUAGUGUAGCAGAAGUUACUAGCGGAACGAUCAAUGUUGUUUACAUAUAAGAGAAAGUUGCUUUUUGAAAAAACGAUGUCGAAACAUACCCAUAUGAGGUCUAGUUUUGAAGAUCUUGUCGCAAGAGUUCCAACGUGAAAACGGAUCAUAUUUUUUACGUCCGGUUUGAAAGUUAUGAUCUUUUGAAUUUUGAAAAACAAAAUUAAUCCCACGUAAUAUCAGCGCACGCCUGACUACAUGGUCCAUAGUUAAGUUAGUUAAAAGAAAAGGAAAAACUGCAUGUGGAUUGUUUUGUUCGACUCAGGACCAAUUGCACUCGUAACUGAGAAAAAAAUUGCAGCUGCACCUGUCAGCUCUUAGGAAAAAAGAAAAGUCCGCUCGAUUUCAUAUCUUCGUGUCCCCUCCAAACGUCCAAAAAGUCCCAACCAACUCGGCUGAGGAAACGACUCAAACAGUCAAACCCCAAACCUUCCAAAGCCACCACAUCAAUGGCGGACUCCCCCUCCUUCCGCCGCCACCCGCUUCCCUUCUCCAUCGACCUGGUCCGCUGGCUCCCUUCCUCCACCUCCUCGGGCCGCCUCCUCGCCGCCGCCGUCCACGACCUCUCCUCUUCCCAACUCCAUCUCCUCCCCCUCCCCGACCCUGCCUCCCCGCUCGCCUCCCUCCCGCUCCCCUCCCGAGCCACCGCCCUCCGCUGCUCCCCAUCCGUGCUCGCCGCGGCCACCUCCUCCGGCUCCCUCCACCUCCUCCCCUCCUCCUUCGACGCCGGCUCGGCGAUAUCCGUUCCCAGCGGCGCGGGGUUCCACGUGGGGCCCGUGCGCGGGCUUGACUGCGGCGGGGAGGAGUGGGUGACGGCGGGGGAGGACGGCAGGGUGCACGUGGUUUCCGGUGGCGGCGACGGCAGGGUGGUCGCGAAGAGGGUUUGGGAUGGGAAGGGAAUGUCGGGGUAUGAGGCGGCGAGGUGGGCGUCGUCCGCGGAGUUCGCCACCGGCGGCGCCGGCUGCGGCGUGCAGUGGUGGGACCGGAGGAAGGGGGACGCCGUGGUGGCGCAGUGCAAGGGCAUCUGGUGAGUGUGAGUCUGACUGGAUUUUGCAUUUUCUGCUGUUUGAUUCAUGUGCUUCAAGGUGUUGUGGGCAGUGCGAUAUAGGUUCUCUGGUAGCCCUUCAUGCGGACUAUAAGAGACAUAUGUUAUUUUGAUCAAUGCUUCACUAGUUUGGUUAUCCUAUUAUGGUUGAAUGCAGUGAUGCGCAGAUACUUUUUUCAUUCCGGAUAAAAGAACACUAAGCUUAAGGUUUACUCUUUGUAUAUUUUUGUUGUGUGAUGGUCUUCAUAUCAAGAUGUCACUGGCUCUGUGUUUUGAAAGAAAUGCACGUUCUCAUAUGGAUCAGAUGAUUAUGUUCUGCAAUAAUUUGUCUCGAAAUAUUAAGAAAAUGUUUUUGCCAUAUUUACGUUCCAUUUCCAGAAGGCUAUGGCUCAUUAUUUGUCAUUCUGUUGACUGAUUAGUAGCAAUGGAGAAGCUUUCAGGUGCGAAACUUGAUAAACUGCACAAUCUUGUCAAUUUAUGCUUGGAGUGUACUGCUAAGAUAUUCCCUAAUGUAUGGGACAACUACCUGGUUUUGGUUUAUUUAGUGAGAAGCAGAAAGAUUGGAUCUGUGGCUUUUCAUAGGAUUGAUGGCUUUUAGGUCAACCUGUAAUCUUGCAAAACAUCAUGUGGAUUUAGCUGUACUCCCAGCAAAUAUAUAGUUGGAAGAUUAAGGUUCUUUCACAUGCUCAGGUCAUAUAGCACUGGUUGUAUUACUUUCAAGUUUCAACUGGUUAAUUCUGCUAACAUGUGAUAAAAAUAGGAAAAACAGAAGUCAUAAUUAUCGUUGUGCAACUGAAUAUAGUAUCAUAAUUUUAUAUUGUUCCUAAUGCUCCAUUGGUGCUAUUAUGCUGAUUUCAUUAACUUGUAAUUUUGCAGGGGUCGUGGCAUUGCCACUGGCAUGGUGCAUUCCAUUGAUAUCCAUCCAUCAAGAAAGCAUAUCUGUGUGGUAUGUCAAUAUAACUCUUUGCAUGAACCGGGAAAUAGUAAAUGUAUGUUCACUUAAGUGAAUGCACAGUUUUAAUAAAGUUUCCCUUGUUAUGUUUUCCUGUGAAUAAUUGGAACCUUCAUAUUGACCAUAAAGCAUAACUCAUGAUGAUACUUUUGUUCUUUCACCAGAUAUUUGGCACUUAAAGAUAAGACACUAGUAUAAACGAGUGAUUGAACAUAACACCCAAAACAUAGGGUUAAGUGCUUUGGUGGGUCUAGGACAAGAAAAUUAUUCAGGUAUUGUGUAACUAAGCUAUGAUUGAGCUGCAUAAAUCGAACCAUGAUUUUAAACCUAGGAUGUGGGUAAUUGGUGUGUAUACCCUGUGAAGCCAGCCAUAACUAUAUGAGACUGGGCCUAGAGAUAGGUAGGGAGUAGGUGCAACUGUUGAACUCUCAAGUGGCAAGGUGAUUGAGUUGUGACCACACUGUUAAACCUAAGAUACAGGUAACUGGCUUGCCACCAAUGAGGGCAGCCAGCUCAUGUUAUCUCAAGCACACAGAACCCAAACAUGGGUCAACCCCUGUUGAGCACAUAGUUGUAAUUAGUUGAAUGGAAGUGUUUAGCUGAACCGUUACUACAAAGAUGAAUCGCCUCUAAAUGUUUGUAGGUGGGAGGCUCCUCAGGGACAAUAUUUGCUUGGGACCUACGCUGGCAACAACAACCAAUACCGCUCUCUGGUGUAGGCCUUGAUGGAACAGCACAAUCUGUGUGUGAGAGUGAGGUCUGGGAGGUUCUUUUUGAUAACUACACACAGUCUUCUGAUAUUAUUUCAUCUGCCUCAACACGAAUGUUACCUGUGAUGAUGUGCUCAGAGGAUGGAAUCCUUGCAAUUGUCGAACAAGGUGAGCCAGUGGCCAGAAAGCUAUAACUGUGUCCAUUGUUGACUUCUUUAAUGCAAAGUGCUUAAGAUGUGUCAAUUUUUACCAGACGAGAGACCUCUUGAAUUGCUUGCCGAACCCUGUGCUAUCAACUCCUUUGAUAUUGAUCCUCAGAACCCUUCUGUAAGUUUAUGUCUGCUCCAGGUUGAAUAGAGCAAGUUUUUGUUUCUUGAUGAUGAGCUGUAAUCAUCUUCUGUUUUUUUUUUUCACAGGAUGUGGUCUGUGCCCUGGAAUGGGAAUCAAUUGGUGUUCUAACACGGGGAAGGGAUGCAAUGGCAGAAGAAUGAAGAGUUUCACUCUAAUGAUUUCUUUAAAUGCCCCUGUGUGAUUUCCUGUAAUUGCCUGGGGUGCAACUACUUGAGAAAUCCGGGUAAGCCAUCUUAUGAGGAUGACAUGCUGAUCAAUUUGUUUUUUUUUUUUGGGAAGACCCAAUUUGUUACUCAUCGGCUACAAUCGUAUGGAAGAGUGUUUGGCAUUUAUUUGGUCCAUCGACUUUGUGUAAGCCUCUGCUGCUGGAAGAGUAUACGCUGGAAGUUUAAUUCACUGGUUUGAACAAGUUAUGUUGUCAUUGUAAUUGCAGAUAGUAGAAAAACUUGUUGAACGCUAGAUCAUUCUUGGCUGCAUAACGGUGCUUACCAGAUCAGAGCUGGAAAUCAGAUGCUGCUGUUUAGUUCAGAAUUUCUGUGUACUGAAUGCCUGAAUCUAUGCUGUCUUCAUAGAACACCACUAUUUUACAAUUGCCAUGAAAAUUGACCGGGAAACCUGAAACAGUUGGAAAGAAGCAAGUUCUUUCUCUUUUCAUUUUCGUGUUCAUUUUUAUUUAUUCAGAGGGCAGUAUCAUUAUAGCAGAUCAAAUGAAGCUCCUGCAUAGAUGUUCUACCACUGUGGGUGAGGUGCUUUGCCAUCGUGAAGGCAAGUGAGGAUGGGAAGAGGAUUGCGACCACGGUAUGGUCCUAACCUACUUUCGCAAAGGCCUCAGGAUUUGAAGGAUGCUUCGGUAGCCUAGCAAACCAUUAUCAGUAAAACAAUAAUUGCACAAAACUACAUGUAAAACCUGUAUAUAAAAAUUACUACACAGACAAGAGUGGGGAGACCUCGUGUGUGUUCCAUUUCACCAGCGUUAGGAAUUCAAAUUUGCAGAAAUGAAGAAUCAGACAUCUACAGUACUGCAAGAUAAGUCCCUUGAAUCAUUCUAUAGAAUCGAAUUUGAAAUGUUGAGCGAGAGGUGAAUCAGCUCCCCAGAGAGAAAUUUAAAUGUUUACAAUCACAAGCUGUUCCUGCUCUUGACAAAGGAAUGCCACGAGAAUCCGUAUAAGAAGGCUAAAAAUUAACUAGAAGCCCGUUUGUUAGUAGUUCUCGAUAAAAAAAAAAAAAAGAGGCAUAUGCCUCAUCUCCUUCAGUGCUUGACAAAAAAUAAGAACUACUUACGUCUACAGGGGAACUAUGGCUACCUGGUUAGUUAGCUACACAAUCAAAUCCUAACUCAGAAACUUCUCAGAGCUUUAAGAUGGAGGCUGAAUGUCAUUGAGCAACAAUCAUUUUGUUAAUUCAGUCCAAUGAUCACUCAACCAGAUUGCAAAAUUCAUUUCUGUGGUUGAAGUUUCUCAACGGAGUGCAGGUACACUGAGACAGACACAACCCUGCAAAUUGAGCAUAUUUCACGAGUCUUAGCACAAGCUGAGGUGUUAUGAUCAACGGAGGCUGCAUUUUAAUUGACACUUACGUCGAUCCGAGGAAGAAUGCGAUGGAUAGGUGGAAGCCAAACAAAAAGACAGAUGCAACUGCUGUUAGAAGCAUUGCAACUGAAGUUGAAUAAACCUGUAACACACCAGAAGAACACUGCAUUUCCUCAAUCGACAAAAAGUUGAGAAACAACACUUCCCAAGAAAAUGGACAGAUAUUGUGGAACCAAGGAAGUAUUAAUUUAAUAACUGCAGUUUUAUCAAUACACAGUAAGACCAAAAAAUAAGUUCUAGGUUCUAAUCCUCUACAAGAUGCAUGUGAUGUGUCUAUAUGCACACAAAAGGACAAGGCCAUAGUAGAAAAUGCCUAUUUGUUUUUCAGUAACAAAAUGAUAUUUGUCAACACGCAAUGCUGAAACUCCUUCUGAGCACUAAUUGCAGCAACUUCUUUUUGCAACAUGAAUAUGUUAUGCAGUCUCAAGUGCCUAAAAUAUAUUCCUACAAGCUUAUCCCACAGACACAGGAUUGAUUGAGGAUAGUUCUCUUGGUUUCAAAAAAAAAUGAAGAGGAACUUGCAUGAUUUAGACAAUAUAAAGCACUAAGAUAAGGAUCAAUAAUUUGCCAACUCCAAGCCCACCAAGACUUCUGUAUCAAAAGAAGUUUAUCAUUAGAUAAAGAAACCAUCUUUACUAAACCUUUAAACUGACAGGCUUUCAUGAUAUUCAACCAUCAUCUAUGCAAUUGAAGCAUUGUAAGAUGGUUGAUGGGGAGAAAUUGAUUCUACUUCAAUGCCACAUACCUUGACAAUAUUAUCAGCAUACUUCAUCACCAUUGAAACAGCAAUCCCACUACAAGGUAAAUCAAGACAUUGUAAGAUGGUUGAUGGGGUCGAAUAUAAAGCAAAGCAAUUAGUAGUUGGUACCUCAGUGCAUGGUUAAAUAUCAUCAGAACUGUGAUGAAUGAAUAUCCAUGGAAAAAGCCUCUGUACCAAAUAGUGUAAUAAUAACUCAAACUGUUGACACUAUGAACUUACUAUGCUGUACACAACAUAGAAUUCAGUAACUAGCAAAAAUACUCACUUAUUCAUGACUUCAUCAUAGUCCUGAACACAGAUUGCAACUAGAUUGAAGACCAGACCAAAAAUGUAUAGCCAAAAGUUCUGCACAUUGAUGUUUCUUGAUGGGCGUUUUUUUAUAAUAGCCUGCAUUGUCAAAAAGAAAACUUCCCUUAGUUUUCAGAUCAAACGAAUGUUGUGUAUAUACCCCAGAGAAUGAUGCAUGGUCAGAUAUUAGGUAAACAGGGGAAAAGACCAACAAGGCAUACUUCUGUAUAUACCCCAGCAAACCACAUAGAAGAGCCAUCACCUGCAAGAAAAAAAAUCAUUUCAGACAGUUGAGUUAAACCCUUCCUGUAGUAAUCUAAAUAUCUAAAUUGAAUAUCUCCUCUAUUACAACUCACAGUUGCCAUCAUCCAACCUUGAAUGGGAGUUUGAAGAACGUGGUCAGACCUGAAAGGGCAAAUAACAUUUCAACCAGUAACAUGACUCGUUCUCCCCAAAAAGGUAACAAGACUGACACCUCACGUCCCAAUAAAUGAACAACUAAUUACUAGAGAAUAUCAAACAAAGAUACAUUUCGAAAUUCAAAUGGUUUAUUUCUUACGAAGGACUGAGUUGAGCUUGUGCAGCCAGCACAAAGAAGAACAAAUGCCGCCCAUUGAAUUUCGCUUAGCCUGAAAAACAUAUGAAAGACACUUAGUACCCAUGCACCAGCUGAUGUGUUACAGCUUGAAAAGGAAACAUGUGCUAGACUGUUGGUGAAGCAAGAAGGAACAGAAGGCAAGGUGCGCUUCUGUUCAUCAUUUGCUUCAUUUCUUCCAAUUCUGCUAUAAUUCGUACAUUCAAAGGUUUGAAAAUGAAAAUCUAAGAGGGGCUCUACCUAUACUGUCAAUUCAUGCCUCCAUUCCAAGCUAUAAAGAAAUGAGCAAUCUAAAUAUCAGGUAUAAUUAUAGUAUCCACCUCCUCAGAAUAGAAACUCACUUCUUUUUGAGAAUGAUGCGGUACAAGACACCUGUGCUGAUGAUAUUAAGGUUCUUCAAAAUCUGGUACGCGGGUGCAUCCACAUAAGCAAAUAUAUAGUACUGGCAUAUAGCAGAAAGUGGAAGAGUAUGUCAACAUACUUUGAAUCAUGAAACUUUGACUAUAACAUGAAGAACUAUGCAUACCUGCAAUAAGUUCUACAGCGGGAAUUGGAUAAACACUAACUUCAUCAAGAGAAGUGAUUAACCUGAAAAAUAAUUAAAUCAUAUGGCUACUGAAAAAUCAGAGGGCAAUUCUAUAGGAUUUAAAUUUAUUUGGAACAUAAUAACAUAUUAAUCAUAUUUAACUCAAAAACAUACUUAUAAGUCAACAAAAAUUGGACACCAGAGUUUCAUGAUGUUGUUCUCUAUGGUUGACCUAUAUGAUUCGCAGUUUCAGAACAUUUUCGAAAACAAUUUGGAUAGUCUAGUUCUGUCUAAAAAACUCUUCAAUCUGCCAUGCCUUGAUAAUUAAAUAGACAUGUUAUGAUGUAGAAACGGGAUAUGAGUAACAUAGUUGACAAAAUGAUGUCCUCACCUAUUAUCUUCUUGAAUACCUUGAUUAUUCCAUGUCCUAGAAAGGGAAGCUAGCGAUAGCAGGCAUUUUAAAGCUUCUACCUAGCCAAGCAUAAAGAAAAACAUUAUCAGAAGAACAGAUAGAAAAUAUGACACUGAAAUGGUAUGCAUAACCUGAAUCGUAAGUAGAAUAUAGAACUCUACCCGUAUUUCCUCACCGAAAAGUUAGCCGUUGUGACACUAUAAUCAUAUUUUCCGGCUCUUUUUGACCACACAAUUAGUAUUGCUUGUGAACUUGUUAGCAAUGUCAAAGCUAUGGUAACAAUGGACCUGUCAUGAUACAUUGAAAAUAGAUCAGAUCGAUUGCAAGGAAGUAUGAAUGUAGCAUAGAGAUUUGAAGGGGAUUAACACUUGCUUUAGUUUCCAACUGGAGCCCUUUGAGCCUCCUGUGGAGCUGAGACCUGCUGUUGCUGCAAUUGUAGCUGAUGGAAUCAAUAGAGUUCAUACUGUUGAUAUCAAGAUAGAGAAUUUGUAUGAUGCAUCAGUGGCUUACCACUGGCGCUAGACAGAGCCCUCCCGCUGAGGCUUUCUACAUCCUUGCAGGAUAUAUCAUCAUAAGUCUCCUUUAGAUGAAAAAGAAGAUAGGUUAGAACAUGAUCUAUUACUGAUAAAGUGCAGGACUCUGGUGUAACAAAUAGAAGCACAUACAGACACCCAACAAGAUUACUAGUACUUUUUUCUCAUUUUUUGCCACAUGGUUUGGUUACUGCUAGGAGCUAUUAACUGGACAAAUUUACCCAAAAACCCGGAACUGACAAAUGGCACAUUCUGUUUCAGUCUAGUUGACUAGGAACUAACAGGGACUGGCAAGUUUUAUGGAAUGGGUUAACUACCAAAUCAGUCUUCAGAUUAUGUUUUUUUGUAGCUGCGACUGACGUACAAGGCCAUCACACACUCCAGUGUACAAUUUUAAAAAUGUUAGCCGCACAAUACAAUUGCACAUAAAUACAUGCAUCCAAGAUCCAACUGCAAACUGUGAGUUCUACAGAAACGAAGAACUUGUAUGAGCAAUCAGGUGCAUCACAAAAAGUUAGUACUUCAGGUGAAUUGUAAAACUUGAGGCAGCCCAACCAGUAACCGACAACACCAAUUUACUCAACCCAAGACAAGAGCUUGAGCCACGAACACAAAUGAUUUAGAGUUUUACAUAGUUUGGAUUGCUUAAGCUUGGUAAACAACCUUUCAGUUCAAGUAGUGAGUGGUCAGUGCCGCACUUCAUAUAUCGGCUGGGUUGAGAACGCGAUGCUGAAUUUGGUUUAGAAAUGUAGCUUCCAAGGACUACAGUAACCAGGAACUGACAGCCUUUAGACUCCUGAAGGCGAUUCCUUGAGACAAACAAGAUCCCGAAAAGGGGGAAAUCCUGAAACAAACCGGCUGAAAAAGCGACCUAAUUCGAGUUGGCGGUGCGCCCUGGGACGCACUGGAUCAGACAAAUUCCUCGUCUUCUAGGGUUUUGGGGGGCUCUGCUGAUGCUAAUUGGACAAAGUAAUUGAGUGAGUUACCUGAUCUUUCACUCCUCUGUACUCCAUUGCCGUCUCUCCUCUCCUCUGCUCGCUUUUCUCCAAGCUAGUCAGGAUCGCCCUCUCCUUCAAUGCGGCGAGGAAGGCCAGUCACGGGGCCUGGUUAGUCGUAACGGGCGACGGUAGGGCCCGCAAAUAUGGAUAUAUAUAUAUAUAUAUAUAUGCCUAAAAAGCAUCGAGAUACAUGAAACAGAAAGUCCCUUAAUAUGUGAUGAAGAGAGUAAAUGAGUACUCCGUGGCGUAACGGGUGACUAUGGAGUACAUUUGUUUGGGGUACAUAUUUUUGGCAAAAGCGUGAACAAAUAUGGAAUAUUUGAUACUAAGGAAACUUAAAAAUAAGGGUAUCCGCAAUAGCAAAGUCCAUACUAACUCUCCAUAUCAUUUAGAGUAAACGGUAAAAUAACAUGUGCAAGGUCUUUAAACUGGGUCUGGAUAAAUUGUUAGUAUUAAAUGUAAUGUUGUGCAAUGGUUAAAAAGUCGAUUCUUCACUAACACUUAGCCGACUCUUCGUUGAUUUUUUCCUUAAGAUUCUGACUCUUCACGAAGAGUCAACUAUCUUCUUUCUCCUAUUUCUUUUUCCUCCACACGAGCAUAUUUUAAAUAAGAGUCGGUUAAGAUUCAGCCAUUAUGGAUGUCCUAAGUAUGUGUACUCUCUAAGCAAACGUGAGAGUGCAAUACAGCCGAUGACAAACACAAGGCGGAUAUGAAUACACGGUAAUAGAGACUUUUUCUAGGAAACGGAAGUGAAACGGCAUAGCGCGCUGGAGAGACGAGGACGAGUGGCUGACAAAGAAGAUCAGCAUCGCCACGCCAGGUCACGAUGGCCGCAAGACGGUGUAGUCACACCAUGAGAAUUAGGAUGGCAAUGCCAUGAAGGAUACAUAGAUAAAUAGAUUUGUUUUUGCCAUGGUUUGAUGUGAAUGAACUGGAUAGCACAGAGUACUACAAAGUUAAGAUGAAUGGAAAUUCGGGUUGAAAAUCCAUAUCUGGUGUCUUGGAUCAAUGAAGACGACAUCUUUAGCAUCGCUUCCUUCUUGGUUGCGUUAUUUCCGAACCUGACCUAUUUGACGCGUCUGGCUUUGUCAUCUUGGUGCAAUGCUCCUUGUUGCAUGUCGUUUCAUGCGGGUGACGAUCUAGACAUGGUAUAGUUAGCCAAUAUGAUCGUGGAAUUGUGGUUUUAAUCUAGCAUUCUCUACUUAAAUAAAUAAGAUAUGCGUGUAUUUUGGUGAUUUCGUAAACUCGGUCAACUAGCUAAAUAGCUUUGUGUUGCCAUGGAUCAAUUAAAUUAGACUCCCGCUACAGAUAAAUUAGACUAAAAAUCACUACUCUCCCUCCGUUCGGUAUUAGAUGUCGCAAAUUGUCUAGAUAGACAUGUAUGUAACGCGUUUAGAUACAUGCGUAUCUAGACAAAAUCGCAACACUUAUUAUUGGAUGGAGGGAGUAUUAUAUACUAGUGGCACUUGAUAGUAAUUUUAUCCUAACUUUGAUGACAAACAUCAUCGUCAUCUUAGUGUUUUGAAAUAGAUUUAUUUAUUUACAUUAAAAAAAAGAUGACGAGUGGAUGGACCCAAUGACAAACUUUUUUACAUGGAGUAAAACCUAUUUUUCUGCCUAUUGAAUAGUUUCUUUUACCACUUAAAUAGCCACAGUUUGGGUUGGUUAUCCGGUUUUUUUUUUUCAAAAGAUGGGAUGUCAAGCGAGAAACAAUAGAAAACCGUACGAGCAAAGCCAUUUCUUCACUAACAAUGUGUCAAGCUGUCCAAGACACAUCUGAUGCAGCACCACGAACUCACGUUGCGAUCUCAAGGGGAAAAAAACUCACACUUUUCUCUAAAAAAAAAACUCACACUUCCAAAAUCCGAACUCCUGGCAUACGUACACGCCCCGCUGUCAGUGACGCACGGAGGCACGGACCCUAUCACCCCGCGCGCAGGGCCAAAAAUACCGCGCGCGAAAAGCCGCCUAUACGAGGCUCUCCCGCCCGCUCCGUUCCCCUUCCAAAGAGCCUUUCCAAAUCGUUGUUCCAAAGCAACUCCCCCCAAAAUUAUUUCUCCCCCAUCCCCUCCCGCCGCUCCGUCUCCGCCGUCUCCACCGCCGCAACCAAACCCUAGCCCGGCCCCCGCAAGAGUCUCUGCAGCACACCCCGACGACGUCGUGCCGGAGCCGCCGCGACAAUGUUCUACUCCCACUCGAUCCUGGCGAGGAAGAGCCCGCUGGGCACGGUGUGGAUCGCCGCGCACCUCGAGCGCAAGGUCAAGAAGACGCAGAUCGACGGAAUCAACAUCCCCUCCUACGCCGGUGAGUUUCUUCGCCCAAAGAUUCGAUUUUUCUUUCUUUCUUUCCUUGUUGCCCGCGGCUAGGCGGAGAUUUUCCGCGGCGGUUCCACGGAUUGCUUAGGGCGAUAGGGAGGCAAAAGAUGUACAAUACUACUUCUUCCUUUUGAUGAGUGCCUACGAUGUGAUGUUACGUAAAUUAGAGGGCCCGGUUAGGUUCUUGGGCAAGAAUCAUAUCCGGAGGUUUCUUUGCCCGGUCGGGUUUCACGAUUCAUCGCAAAUAUGCUUCAAAUUUCGUGUGUUCUAUUCUUAAGCUGUUUCUCCCCAUGGUAGGACUUUUCUGUAGCAAAGAUGUAAUAUUUUGAACGGACUUCGUGCAUGUGAGAUACAUUUGAGUUAAAUUUCAAUGUGUUACUCUUCAGUAGAGACGGGUGGUUUUCUGUCUGUGUUCAUGCUUCGUUUCACGGGUCUUGGUGCGGCAACAAGACAAAAUAUGUAUUCUUUCUUCCAAAUGGCCACCUUUAUGAUGUCACAUUGAGCAAAGAAGAUGGCUCGGCUGGGUUCUGGGAGAGAGUUAUGCCUGGAGGCUUUUUAGUCUGGACAUGAUUCAUUAUUCAUCUAAUAAAAUAUGGUUGUUAGUUAAAAUUCUGUAUUAAUGUUUGUGUGUUGUGCCAAAGGAAGAUAUUUAGUUUUCUAGUAAUGAUAUUGAUAAUGAGCUAUUCGGUCAUGCUGCUGGAAGCUUGGGCCUAGCUCGUUCAAUUUUUAAGCUAUUUGCCAGAUGUUGGAGCUCUUCUUUUUGUGUGGCAAAGACAUAGUCUUUUAUACCGAUCGUGCAUAUGGAAUUAAGUUUUAAUUUGGUACUCAUUAAUUUUUUUGAUUGUGUGGGGAUUGAUGCUUCUUUUAACCAACAAAAUGUUUCAAGCUGUUCUUAUGAGCUAGUAAGUUCUCCUUUUAAUUCACCGAGAAGAACAAAUGGGGAAUACUUCUUGCUAGGAACAUAUUCGAUGAUUUGGAGUGCACAACUAGGGAUAUUGCCAAAUGCCAACUGAAUUAUUUAGGAAACAAAUAUGUAGAUUUGAAGUUAAUCAGGUAAAGUCACUAAAUUUGCAGAUGGGCUUCAUGGCUAGGACAAUCACCAUUAUACUAUUAUGAGAAGUAAACUAAUUUAACCAAUAGCUAUGAUUUUUUGUUUAGGGGUUUAUGUGAAUACAGAACUUUGUUUUUUUGGGGGGUGCAAUUGUUAUUUUCAAUUUCCCUUUCUCUCUGGCACGAACCUGUUGGUAAUAGCAUGUUGGCCAGGUAAUAGUUUCCCCCAAUGUUAAGCACUACGCCCAAAUAGAAACAUAUAAUAUCUUAGAAAAUGUGCAACCAACUUUGUUUAUCACCGGUAUUUCUGCAUUGUCCUUUGUUCCUUAAGUUUUUGCCUUUGGGUUCUAAAUGCAUGCUCUCUGUUUCUUUCCAGAAUGCAUAAUGGCCCCUGAGGUUCCAAUUGCUCUGAGAUUAUCAGGGCAUCUUCUUCUAGGACUAGUUCGCAUUUAUUCAUGGCAGGUGAAUUACCUCUUUCAAGAUUGUAACCGAAUGCUAAGCGCAGUAAGAACUGCCUUUGCCUCUGUGGAAGUAGAUCUUCCAUUUGAUGCGGACCGUGCUCCGUUUGAGCUUAUCACAAUGCCAGAAACAUUUAACCUUGAUCACUUAAACCUGGAUGAUGCAAUUCGUCAGAUGGAGUAAGCAUUUUUUUUUGCUUCGUAUCACUGCUUUGUGUGUCAAGCAACAUCAAUGUAAUUAUGUUAUUUCUCUUGAACUUUCUGACAGGACGCCAGAUAAUCAUCGGAGAACUUCUGAUCAGAUCACCUUAUCUGGUAUUUGAAGCUCAAUAUAUUCAAUACUUAGUAUGUUUACUGUCAUUUCAACACCAUUGUUUAACGACCUCUUUUCCAUUGCAGAAGAAGAGUAUGUGACGAUCAGUCUUGAUGAGGUAUUCAGUACUGUCUUGCCUUGAUUUUUUUUCCUUAUCUACUUUCUUCUAUAACAUUAUUUAUACCUGUACAUGGUGUAGGAUGGUAGAAUAGAGCCAUCCCCUACUGGUCGAUCUUUAGACUUUGAGACUGAACCACCUGAGCAAGGGUAUGUGUCUCAAAUAUUACUGUUUCCUUUAAAACAUUUCUGGUGGACUCAUGUCUCCUUUGCUACUAUGUCCAGGACGUUCCCUCCAUUUCCAGACGAUGCCAUGUCUCUAGAUCCUGUCCAGGACAAUUUGCCACCGAACCCUACUAAUGGGGAACAAGACUCACCAGAAAGACCACGUGAAGCACCCGAGAGCCCGCUGAGCUUUAGAGGUGUUAUUGAUGGCAAUGACUCCAUGGAAAGACCACGUGAAGCACCUGAGAGCCCGCUGAGCUUUAAAGGUGUUAUUGACGGCAACGACCCCAUGGAGGAAGAUCUCUCGCCCUUCAUUUACAAGGUUACCACACCACCAGCAAAGGACCCAUCUUUAUCCCCUGGUCGAGGAUCUUUGCUUGGGGCAUCCAUUCAUAAUGUACCAAGAAGCAUCAGACAUGAUCCUAUUGAAGAUGAAGAACCAGGCGAUACUGGUUCGUACUCUUGCUAACUCCUUAUUUUUUUAAAGGAUUUGUUUGUCCUCACUUUUAUGUGAAGUUUUAAGUACAAUUGAAACUUUUCGGGAAUUCUACCAGCAUGAGUUUAUUGGGAUAGUGGAUGGCCGUGUAAGAUGUACUUUCUGUUGAUGGCAUAAAGUAUAAACUCCUAAUGCAACUUUCAUUUCUUUACUUUUUGUGAUUUUAGGAAUUUCGGUACCUGAAUUUAGGCUCGAGCCAUCACCACCUCAAGUACAAGACAACAAGAGAAAGAGGAUACCGAAAGUACAAGCCCCCAAGUUCGAUGAUGAAAUAGUGUUAUCAAAUGCGUAAGUUUCAAUAGGCCCUGAACCGUGAAAGGACAGAUUCUUAUACCCCCCCCUUUAUUUUGAUCAAUGUUUCGAGAAAUAACAAAUAAUUUGCUUCAGAUAAUUUCGUUAUCAUCAAAUAUUCAAAUCAUAUAAUUUGUUACCGUGUUAGUCCAAAUUCUGCCGAAACAGUGCACGUAUACUCUGGAAUCCCACCGCUUUCCAUUGUACACCAUCUAAUUUUGUCAGUUGUGCUUUGACUCUUAAAUAUAUUUGCAGCUGUAUUGCCGUAUCAACGGUUUUGGGCAAAUUUCAUAUCAGUGUUACCCUACCUGCCAUUUAACAUUGGCUUGGUAACAGCGACAACAAUCCCAUUCCUUCAGUUCUUUGGUUAAAUAAUUCGUCUAGCAACUGCUAAAUAACAAUUAGGGUAUAUUUUGUUGUAAAUAAUCAACUUGGUCAUUAACUUUCUCUAUCAUUAUGCUCAUUGUGAUUGUGAGAAGUUGUGUCAUGAUAAUAGGAGUUCUGUUGGAUUUUGGUAUUCUUUGUAUCAAUGACAAGGAUAAUUUCAUCAUCUCUUUGCGCAGCUAUAUGAAGAAACAAAUUGAUGGCGAUGAUCUAUGUAAGCUGGUCUGCAAGAGGAAGAAACUACCUCAUACGGCCGUUGAUAUGUGGAAAUUCAACAGGAUUCGCAGAAAGGACAGCUUCUUGUGUGAACCUUUAGUACAUGGUAAGCUGUGCUCCUCGAUUCUGCUGGUGUGUAGUAUUCUUCUCUUAAGAAACCACUUCAUGCCCUUAAUUUGUUCCAUUACAGGAAUGUGCCUUGACCUACAUAAAACCUAUGAGAGGGAAUUUUCUCGUCUGAGUGACUCCGAUUCUGGGCCUGCGUCUGAAAACCGUGCUACGGGUGAUGCAAAUGUUGGUGACCAGAAUGCACCGCCUGAAUGUCAGCUCACCCCAAAGUCUCUAGGAAACGCAGACACACAGUCUGAACAACUCUCCCCAAAGUCUUCAGGAAAUAUAGAUGCACACCUUGAACCUCAGCUCACCCCAAUGUCUCCAGGAAAUGCAGAUGCAACACCAUCUGAUUAUGCACCUGAGCUCCCUCGAUUCUCUCCGCAAAACACUCCACAAACUAACCUAUCUCCAGUAAGAGAAGAUCAUGCUACUCCUUUCAAAACUCCUGGUAGAACCCCACAGUCUGGAUUUGGAGGAACUGGUGCCAGCGAAAUACCACCAACAUAUGGCACUUAUGCAUCACCUGGACAAAGGACUUAUGAGUCUGAUCCUAAUGGAUCUCCAUUUCCAUUCAAUGACGAACUUGAUGAAGACCUGCCAGAGAUUCCUGGGCUCAUAAAUACUCCUAGCACGAAAUCUAGUGCCGGGACAGGCGCCACAGGAUUAGGCAGCAUGUCUGCUAGAACAAGGUAAUGGCAUAUGUUUCAAGGGAUGGCUUCAUUAAUUUUUUUGGAGGGAAAGCUAGGCAUUAUCUAAGUGCAUGAUGUGACUUUUAUCUUACUGCAAAUGUAGGGCUGUGGCGCAGUAUUUUAAAGAUAAGAUGUCUUCAGCCACAUCAAAUGACCAACCAGGAAAAUUCAGUUUGAACAGUAUCUUGGAAGGAAGAAGAAGAAAGCAAGCGGCGCGCAUGUUUUUUGAAACAUUGGUAAUAUCCGGACCCUUGUCUACUUUCUUUUAUACAUAUAACUGUUUUUUGUGCAGGUGCAAAUAUUUGUUCUGUUUCUGAUGUUGGAUUUUGAUUUUGUUUCUUCUGUUCCUCUAGGCCCUGAAGAGUUAUGAUUAUAUUGAUGUACAACAAGAAGAGGCUUAUAGUGAUAUAAAAAUUUCAGUUAGACCCUCACUCUCAGCCGCCAAACUUUGAGCAACUCAGACUUGGUUUCUGUCCAGAGUUCCAGUUAUUUUGUUCCUUUCUGUUUCUUGAUCUGUAGUAUUAAUCCUUAUAUGUGGGAUCGAGGUGCCUUGGGCAUGCAUACAGUUGUGUUUAUGCCAUCUCUGUCUGUCGAUUCUGUUCAGAACCUGGGAAUAGUGGGUAUGAUAAGAGAUAUUUGAUCAAAAUACUAAUUCUAUUGUUUUUGUUUUGAGCUGUCGAGAACUGAGAAGAAUUUGAAUUUGAAACAAAUUGAAGCGAUGACCAUUUUACAUUGCACUUUGAUAAUUUGUUCUGCCUUGCCUCGUUGACAUGUGGCCCUAGACCACCACAUCACAUGCCAGUGAAACAAAGCAGGGCCAAUUAUCAAGGCACAAAGUGGAGCAUAUGGAAGAAUAUCUCCUCUGAGUUCGCAACUCUAUAUAAGUUGCUGUUUAUUUCCCACCCUGCCUCCCAUUUCCGUAUUCAUGACUGAAUAUGAAGUUUAUACAGAAUAACAGCUGAACCAAAUUGUGGCCUGUUUGUAGACUAGAUAGACUUCACAUUUGAAAUGCUUUCUUUCUAUGUAAGACCAUGAUCAUCACUCAAUGGCUCAAUGCAACUGGCGACAGCAUGAUUCAGCACUUCUGGCUAAGUUAUCUGAUUAUUAUCACGAAAUUUUAGCAUAACAGGCUAACAGCAAACAGACGGCAAAGAGCAGAGUGAAACAAAGUGAAUUUCAAGCUUCCUCGUCUUCGACCUUCGUUUUUUUACAGAACACAACCUUUAUUACCACCAGUCUGGAAUUUCUUGUAUACACAUAGCUAGCCAGCUAGGUACAAUCCUCAUCAGCAAACCCCAGCCUUGACCCAACAGUGUCAUAAACCACCCUCUUGUUCCUCUGCUGGUAGUUCCCGAUGAUGGGCGUUUGGUCCUCGUACGGCAGGCUCGCCAUGGCCAGACAAACCUGAGACCCAUCCUUCCUGACCACGAACAGCAUCCCGGCGGCGUCGACGGUGACCUGUGCGCCGCCCUCGAGCGUCAGCGUGAGCAGCGGCACGUUGACCUCGUCGCGGCCCGUGAGGUCGUAGCACGCGUCGAGGAUCGAGAACCCCGGCGCAGCCGGGUACUCGAACCGGCGCGCGAACUCGGCGCGCACGGCCUUGUAGACCGACGGCGCCAGCCGCGUGAUCACCGUGCCGGAGUCCACGAGCACGUUGCCGGCGCCGAACCCCGGCGCGGUUAGGGCGGCUCCUCCGCCCACGGCCGCGCCCGUGAUGUUGAUGAAGUAGAAGGGCGGCUGGGUCGGGUCCGCGAUCAUCCGUGUGUAGGCCAUGUUGGGGAAGGACGAUGAUGGGCCGGGCCCGAGGGAGAGGGAGCCUGUGGACGUGGUGGUCGCGGGGAGGCAGUAGGAGAAGACGCCGCCGAAGCGCGCCGCGGUUUGGGAGACGAGCGAGAGGUCGGUCCGGCCCAGGCCCAUCAGGCCCGCCGUGCCCCCGAACAGGCCGCGGUUGCUGAGCCCGCAGCCGAAGACGAAGCCGUCGAGCUUGGUGGUGGUGCCGAGGCCCAGGGUGUCCUGGGCGAGGACGCCGCGGCUGAAGGAGCCGUCGCCGUAGGACAGCGCGUAGUAGCAGCGCUGCUCGCUGUUGCCGGCGGAUCUGGCGCAGGAGCCGGGGGCGCCGGUGGCGUCCUUGAGGGAGGCGGCGCAGGCGGGGGAGCCGCAGGGGACGGCGGCGAAGGUGGGCGAGGCGGCGGGGUCGAAGAGCGGGUCCCGCUGGGCGUAGCAGCUGGAGCCAGGGCACGGCUCGCACUGCACCCAGGUCAGGUCGCUGCCGGUGUCCACGAUCACCGUCAGGUUCUUCGCGCCGCCGCCGCCGAGGGCGAUGGUGGUGACGUAGUUGAGCGUCUGGUAGCGGAUGCCGGAGCCCAGCGGCACCUCGGCCGCCGCCGCCGACGCCUGGGUGGUGGUGGUGGAGGAUGCUGGCUUGGGUUUUCGGAGCUGUAGCGAGGCGGCGCGAGCGGAGUCGGCGGCGAGGAGGUGUUUCAGGUAACGCUCGCGGGCGGCCGGGUGGUCGGGGACGGUGGCUGUGGAGGAGUGGUGCUUCAGCUCUAGCACGGCGGUUGUUGAUCUUGAUCUUCUUGCUGCCGGCUCCUCUGCAGCUUUCUUGUCUUCUCCUGGAAAAGAUGAGAUGGUGGACGAGUGUAUGUGACUAUCAGGCAGAGGAAUGUGGAAACAUGCAAUUGAUUUAGGUCGGGUUUCAGAUUUCAUUUUUAAGAUAAAGGAUUCGCAAAGGAUCUUUGCAGGAUUUCAAUCGUUUCAUAAAAAUAUGCAUGACAUUACAAUUCUUCUACUGUUACUAUUCUUAUCCUUUCCGAAUCCCGUGAACAAAAUAAGCCCUAUAUGUGCAUGAUAUGGUUUUCGAUAUGUGAGUAGAAAAAGGGAUUCAAUUAACCAUGAGAAAGGUCAGUGAAAAAUACAAGAUCUGUAAUCCCAAGUAGGACUGUCAGAGAAUAUUUGCCACUGGAAUAUUAUAUGAGCUCUAGAUGCGGGAUCUAUUUAUUUCAGCGUCAGCAUUCAACAUAGUACAAGUGGGGAAUUGACGACGAGAAGGGUCAGUGAAAAAUACAAAUGUAACAUCCCAGGAAGGCCACUGUCAGAGAACAUGGACCAUAUCAUAUAUCCAUAUACGAGCAUCUGUGUGAGAGUCCAAGAGCCCAUGUCGACGGAAUCAGCCUACACCACAGUAUAUUCUUUAUCAUGGAUGAACAUGCAACAUUUUAUCAUUCUUUUCUUGGUUUCUAAGUCGAAGUUGAAGAAUAUUAACACCUCGAAAUCUUAUCACUAACUGUACAUAGAGAGACAGAGACAAAAUAAAGGACAUAGCAGUGGAAAAUGUGUCAUACUACAUACUCAGAAUGAUUGGACUGGAGACCAUAUUUUUCGUGAAGUUUUACUACAGUUGUAAGGUACUCCCUCCCAUCCUAAAUUGUUAUCGAAAUUUUACAUGUAUCUAGAUGCAUUUUAAUAAUAGAUAUAUUCAUAUUUGGGCAAAUUUUAGUCAAGAAUUUAUGAUCGGACGGAGAGGGAAUACAUUAAUUCUUUCCUCUCGAAGCAUAGUAGUAGUAGUGUAGUACUGCAAACUAGUGUAUCUAGCUUUAGCUAAAAAUUAACUGAUGGCAUUUUUAAUUCUCAAAUGUAAUCGCUGCACAUUUCGGUCCAACUACAACUGGCCGCAGAAAUCGGAAUAGCAUGCAUAAGAUUAUCUAGCUAGCUGGUGUAUAACAACUGACCUGCUAGGAACCCAGCCUGCUUUGCUUGCGCAUAGCGGCGCCCCUGGAUCGUCUCCCUCGCGGCAGCAGUGCCAGUGCCCCAGUACUCCAACUCACGCAGCGACAGCACCGCGCUCUUCUUCCCGACCACGGCAUUCCGGGCGUCGCUGCUGCCGGCGGCCGCGGCGACAUGGCCAACGAAGGCAAGGAGAGCAAUUAGGACAGGAAGAAGAAGGUGGUGCUGCACGGGAGACCAGCUGGAGGAAGAAGCGGCCACCAUUGCAAGGAAUGGAGUGGAUCGACCUCGUGGGAAGCGGCCAAGAAGAAGAAAGGGGAGUAGCGCAAGAGACAAGAGAAUGUGAAUGUGUGAGAGAUCGAUGGGAUCGACGCAUGCAUGUAGUUUUGGGUAGAGAUUCUUGAGGGCGGUCACAAGAGAACAAAGAGACAGACAGGGUCGUCUUGCUUUGGAUGCACGCGCGCCGGCGGCAGCACGAGAGUACUGUAAAUGUUGUAGGUUUGUGAAAUGUUUGGUAUCACGGGCACAACCAAACCGGAGAGAGAGAGAAGCUACCGCUUAUUGUUUGCUUGCGGCCGGAGGCGAUAUAUAUAUAGUUGUUGUAGGACACUGUUAACCCCCGGCCAUGUGGUGGCUUGGCAUCGAUCGAUUCUAGUCUAGGGGAAUUGCUCCGGGGAAUUGCUGCGGUGAGUCUAGAGUUUGGUUCCAGUUCGAAGUAGUUCUACCUGUUCCAGUUCGAAGAUAGCUGGCGGAUCUUUGGCCUGCGGUUGUCGUCGCGUGGGCCUGGGUCCUCCUACAGGCCCACAGGCCACACGAGUAGAUGCGCUGGGUAAUGGGCUGAACCUCCUCAUCCGGAGGCCCACGAGCUUGUCACGAAUAAUAAAAACCAGUAACCUUCCCGUGCGUUGCUAGGGCUAAAAAGACGUAUAGACACAUUAAAUAAAAUGAUAUAUUAUUUCUGAACAUGUAUUAUAUGUAACCAAAAUGCAAUUGAUAAUCGUGUCGUAACUAUUUGAAUAAUUCUUGUCAAAAUAUUACAUGUAUCCAGACGCUUUUAAGAAAUAUACUCCCUCCUUUUCAUAAAGAAUGGCGCCCACGCUUUUCGAGGUCGAAUUUUGAACAACAAUUAGAACAAUUGUAUGUAGAUUAUAUGUUACAAAUUUAAUAUCGUUGAAAAGAUUUUUGAAAUAUAAAUCAAAUGAUAUAAUUUUUGUAACACAUAAAUUUCAAAUCAUUAGUCUAAUUGUUAGUCAAAAUAAAAUCUUAAAAAACGUGCGUGCCAUUCUUUGUGAAAUUGAGGGAGUAUAUACGUCCAUAUUUGGACAAAUUUAAAACAAGAACUAUAUUUUUCUUUUAUCUAGUAUUUCAUCGAACACCUCACGUGCGUCACAGCUCACUGCCGGCCGAACGCUUGACUCAAACAACAAGAUGCAGAAAACUAUAAUUAUGACUUUAUGAGUAAAGAAAUCAAGAACCAGAGACAUCACAUACAUCUCCCUGCUGCGAACUGCGAACAUUAAACCCUAUCACACUUGAAGUGGAAGACGUAGAGGCCCUGGGUGCAGUAGACGCUGCAGUCGGGGGCGGCUUCGCCUCCUACUCCGUUGGUGUGCGCUCGAGGGUCUGGCGUGCGACGGCCCCCGCGUUGGUGGCCACGCCCGCGCCAUUGUGCUCCGCCAGCACCACUGCGCCGCGCGCCGCCACCACGUACUGGAUCUUCCCCAUCUCUCGCUCCCUCCUCCGAUCCGGCGUCGCUCUUCCCCUUCCAUGACCCCACGCCGCCGCUGCUAUGAGAAGAUGGGUGUUGGAUCCGCUGGCUCGCGCCCGCACGGGGGAAACGUGAAUCGGGGGAUUUGGGGGUUCCUCCUUGGGAAAAAAAUCGGAGGAUGCGGAACUGCUCGAGGAAGCGUGAAAUUUGGGGUGUACACGAAUCAGUCAUGAUGGUGGUGGAGACGGCUCCCGUUGGGACCUCCGUGGCGGUGUCUGGUCGGGCAGAGGCAUCGGCAGGUGGGUCAGGUCUCGGUGAGGGGUUGGCGCUGGAAGGACGCCGUCUCCGGCUACGCACGAGGGGCCGGAGUUCGGGGAGGUGAAGAGUUGGAUCGAAGUUCGGGAAAGUGAGGAGUUGGAUCGGGUGAGGAGUUCGAUCCGGAAGACUUCCGGGAGGAGGACACGAGGUGAAGGGUGAGGCCAACUCCAAUUUAAUAUAUCGUUACAGACUAGCAAAAAGCCCGUGCAUUGCUAUGGAGAACGGAAAAUUGUAUCAAACCGUCAAAUUAAAUGUUGUUGUGUUUCAUGAGCAC
RNAcentral lists this long non-coding RNA (71494 nucleotides) under Brachypodium distachyon (stiff brome). RNAcentral describes it as "long non-coding RNA (BDIS_LNC003164)". The stretch from base 16443 to 16567 matches the Rfam family "MIR1120/MIR1122 microRNA precursor family". Lineage: Eukaryota; Viridiplantae; Streptophyta; Magnoliopsida; Poales; Poaceae. The record is from RNAcentral.